Molecule: long non-coding RNA, 62834 nt
Filed under: Malus domestica (apple)
Lineage: Eukaryota; Viridiplantae; Streptophyta; Magnoliopsida; Rosales; Rosaceae
Source: RNAcentral
UCGAUGGUUUGGAGGUCGGCUUCGGAGAUGAACUGGACCUCGGAGAAGAAGACGUAGCCUCGCUUUUGGGCUUGUUCUCCGGCGAGGACGAUGAGGAGGCGGCGGGUCUCCUCGUCGGCUUCGCGGAAGUUUUGGGCGGAGAGGUGUCGUUCUAGGAGGUCGAAGGAGGUGGAUUGGGUGGAGGAAGAUGGUGUGGAGAAUGAUGUGGUGGCGGAGAUUGAGAAAGUUUUGGUGGAGAAGAGAGAGUGAUGAGAGAGAGGAGAAGUUAGGGUGUUUGUGGUGGUGGGUUUAAGGAAGAAGGUGGAGGGAGCAUUGUCUAUAUGGUGGUGGUGGAGGAGGAGUGAGUGGUGAUUGUGGCGUAUGGAUUGGAAAGACUUGGCUGCCAUGGAGAGAGAGAGAGAGAGAGAGAGAGAGGAGUGUGUGGUGGUGGUGGUGGUGGUGAUGGAGAGGAGUUAGGAGGGCAUAAAGGGGAAGGCAGGAGGGAGGUGAUGGGCUUAGAUGUGGAGAGAUGUGGUGGUGUGAGUUUGUGAGGAACGGAUGCUUUGAUAUAUGACAGAUAAGAAAUAUGUGAAGAGGUGAUAUGGAGUAAUAGGACGGAGGAUUUUGAUUGGCUAGAUGUGGGUGAGGCUUGAUCCUCCAAUACACAUGUACAAAUUAUUUAAAUCAUAAUGUAUAUGAAAUUCACUUUUUAGCUUCAUAUACAUUGGCCCAAAAGAAAUGGCCAAGGGGGCAUUUUGGCAACAAGACAAAUGUAAAGUUAAAAGACAAGCCAAUGGAGCUUUUUGAGCUUAAAGGUGCUAUCCAUACAUUUAUUUUUAUUUUUCACAUAUGGUUCUUAAUUUUCGUUCGUCAUAUCGAUAAAUUGAAGAAAAUCAAUGGACAAAAAUAGUCCAAAUCACCUAAGCAAAAGUACAACCGAAAGGGUAAUGCUAAGGAGAUCAAAAUUUUAAACCAAAUUGUAAACCAAAUGAUGUGUGGUUGAUGAUUGGAUUAUUACUUAAUUGUUGAUUAACGUACUUGUUUCUAUUAGUAGCAUAUCAUUUGGUUUAAAUUUUGAUCUCUCUAACAUUAUCUCAAAUCAAAACAAAAAAUACAAAGAAACAAGCCCAUAAAAAGAUCUCAUAAAUGUUAGAAAACAUCUGCUCUCGGAAACAAGAACCAACCAACCAAAUGGAAGAAUUAUGCUAAUUGCCCAAGCCCAAAAAAAAAAAAAAAACUAAUGAAAAUGGCUUGAAAACUUUGAGUUUUAAUGAUAAGGACAAAAUAAAAGGUAAAGUGAAUAGUACCAGGUUUGACUUUUUAGUGUAAAAAUGUGGUUUUUCGUUAAAGUGAACACCGUGAGCUUUUCAUUAAAACUCAAAAAAAAAAAAAAAAACUCAUCCAAACUCAUCUAAGGAGCCUAACUUUGGGAAGAGUCAUGGUUUAUUUAUGGAAGGUAAGGUAGCACACUUCACCUCUGGGUUUGGUUUUUAUUUUAUUUUAUUUUGUUGAUGCACAAAACCGGAGGUCUUGGAACAACGUAAAUCCGACCGUGAAUCUGCAUAUAAUGUAAAUAACACAAGAUGUAUCGUGGUUCACCCCAAGGUUUGGGCUAUGUCCACACUGAUUAUGUAUUUAUGAGAGGAUUGUGAGGGAGAGAAACCUCUGUAAUGUGAGAGGAGAUGUGAGAGGGGUGAGAAGGCUCCAGAAUUUGCCUCCCCUAAUUGUGAGGGUGAGGGGUCAUUUUAUAGAAUAAGGACUUCUCACUUAUUACAUAUUUGCCCAUUCAUUUAUCACAUAAUUACAUUUAAGUCCCUCGAGUAUUUGUACGAGAUCUAAAUACGAGGCCCUAAAUAUGGUAUAAACAGUAGUCCCCCAAGUCUUCAGUCAAGAGAGUCUUUUGGCUGGAGACUUGAAAUUCAGUCCACGUGUGGGCCGAAGUAACUAAAUGUCGUCUUGAACUGGUACUUGAUAUGAGGCGGUGCUCAAAGUGAAAUGAUGCUCAACUAAAAGUAGCACACGCUGCGAGGCUGCUCAGCUCGUGGCUUAUAUUGCCUUGGUUGGCUCGACUUGCGGCAUUUGAAGGUGAGGGAGUCCCUUUUAUGGAAUAAGAGCUCGCUCCUCAAUACAUGAAUGAUGGGCUAGAGUUGAUGCUCUUUAAUGAUGGUGAGGGAGUCCCUUUUAUAAAAUAAGGGAUUGCUCCUCAGUACAUGAAUAAUGGGUGCUCUCUAAUGAAAGUGAGGGAGUCCCUUUUUAUAGAAUAAGGGUUCGCUCCUUAAUACAUGAAUAAUGGGUGCUCUCUAAUGAAAGUGAGGGAGUCCCUUUUAUAGAAUAACGGUUCGCUCCUUAAUACAUAAGUGAUGGGCUAAGUCCCCCAAGUAUUUUUCAUAAGGCCCAGUUGCGGAAGCCCAAUAUAUGGUACAUAAUGUAGUCCUCCAAGUCUUCGGUCAGUAGAAUCUGUUGGCUGGAGACUUCAAAUUGAAUUCAUGUAUGGGUCGAAGUGGCAGUUGUUCAGAGGCGGUAUUUGUAUACCCUGCACUGAAGCUUUGUAGGUGAAUCUUUGCAAGUGAAGCUUUGAAGCUAGAGUUCUGUAAAUGAAGUUUUUGAAGCUAGAGCUCUGUAAAUAAAGCUUUUGAAGCUGUUUGACAUGAGUGAUGCUCAUGAAUGUUUAUGUUGAUUGACAUGAGUGAUGCUCAUGGAUGUUGUCAUGAGUGAUGCUCAUGAAUGUUAACAUGAGUGAUGCUCAUGAAUGUUGACAUGAAUGAUGGUCAUGAAUGUUUAUGUAUGAUUGUCAUGAGUGAUGCUCAUGAAUGUUUAUGUAUGAAUGACAUGAGUAAUGCUCAUGUAUAAUUUAGAGUACUGGGCGUACUUUUGAUCACCUGGUUGGUGGCAUGAAGGAGAGUACGGGUUGUACAUUUCAUCACUGGGUUGGUGGCAUGAAUGGCUAGUUGCCAAAUGAUAUUAGAGUACGGGUUGUACAUUUCAUCACCUGAUUGGUGGUAAUAGUGGCAGGUUGCCGAAUAAUUUUGGAGUACUGGGCGUACUUUUGAUCACCUGGUUGGUGGUAAUAGCGGCAGGUUGCCGAAUAAUUGUGGAGCACUAGGCGUAUUUUUGAUUGUCUGGUUGGAGCUAUUUUGGGCUUAUGGGCCUUCGCCCUCUACACAACAUUCCAGCCCAUUUAUUUUGGGCUUUGCCUUUUUUUUUUAACCCUCUGAUGGGAUUUAUACAUAUUACCCUCUAAUGGGGUUUAUACAGAUGUCUUCGAAAGAUCAGAAAAAUAAAUUACAUCACUUUAAAGUAAGGAAAAUAAAUCACAUCAUUCUGGUGGGGUGUUUAUUCCUUGCUUUUGCUUUCUGCUUUUCGUCGCACUCUCUCUGUCUCUUCACCUGGUAGACAAAAAGAAUCGUUUAAUAGGAAUCUUAUAAUUUUGCCCCAUUUCUUAUUUUUUCUUUUCCUUUUAUGCUUUACUUUCGCUUUCGUUUUCUGCUUUGCUUUUGCUUUCGUUUUUUGCUUUGCUUUUGCUUUCUUCUUUCUUUUGCCUUUCUACUUUGCUUUUGUUUUCCACCGCGCCUCUCUCUGUAAUUUCUGAAUGGGUCUCUAAAAAUCUAAUGGCGAUCUGCUUUGCUCCUCUAUCCAUUAUGUCCAGUAGCAAUCUUGUCUACUUUCAAUAGUGCAGCGCCACGAUCGAGGGCCAAGAUUUCAUUUCUUUUGACGGUUUCAAGAGAAUCGUCCCUGUAGCUAGUAAUACUCUCAUCCACUGCCAAGAGGAAGAGGUCUAGACCGUAAUUGUGCCACCUGAUGAAUCUCCUCCUCAAACACCUUGUAGAAACACUCCCUUCAAAUCUGCUAUAGGGUUUUGGGUCUCUUGAGGGCGGCCCGUCUUUCAUGACAGAUGCAGCACUAAAGCCCCCUGCCUUCUUCUGCUUGCCGUCGGCUGAAGACUCUAUUGAACGUGACGACACUCAGUCGAAGCUCAGGAUUUGUAAUUGACUACUUUUCCUCUCUGUUGACCGGUGAAAUCCAAACGGUGUCUCAUAUCCAAAUGGUUUCUGGGUUUUUCGUUUGAAAAGUCUCAGCUCAAGCUCCUCUGCGACCGCAUUGCACGCAGUGCAUUUGUCGUCAAUAGAAGCAGCCAUCGAUAAAAUGGUGAAGAUCAAAGCCAACCUCAACACCAUUGACCCUCUCAUUUCCUUUCACUUCUUCCACUUUCCGUCUCUCUCUCUCUGUUCUCGGCACUGGUACUGUUUGCAAUGGUGACGGCGGCGGCGAGGUAGACAGUCUCCUGAUCUGACAUUUUAGGCUGGUUUCCGCGGAGAACUGCGGAGAUGCAGAUGCGGCAAAUUUUGAUGAAGCCCUUCCUGGCGGAUACUCAUUCGACGGUGGCAGUCGACGUGAAGCCGUCGCUAGACCUGGCGUAGAGCAUCUUCUCCAGCGCGAUGGAGGAUGAGGAGCCGUAGAGGAAGCUCGCAGACGCCAUGGAUGGCAGAGAAGAUGGAAUUGCGGCGAGGCCGCAAGCUGAGCAUGGCGGAUAUAUUGGGUCAGAAGCUUUGGAGUUCAAGAACAAGAUGGCGAAGAAAAUAGUGGGUUUCUCUCGAAUUUGCUAAAUUUCUUUCCUUUCUGAUUGUCUUAAUAAGGGACCAAAAAGUAUAUAUCAAGCAAAAAACACUCUCAGCAUCUACACUUCAAAAGCCCUUUUUGAUGCCAAUACCAGUCCUUCCAAAAAAAUAAAUGGUUGUUUGGAUCUUUAAAGUUUGAAACUUUUGAGUUGUGAGUUUGUUUUGUUUGAAGAGGUGAAAGAGAUCAGAAGUAAGAGAGAGGCAGAGAGAGUUUUAGUUGUCUUUUGGGUUUUGCAGAUCCACAGUGAAGUGUGGUGAGGUUGUGAGGGUUUCACGGUGAUGAGAUGAAAAAUUGAGAGAGAACCGACAUAGCUUUUCAUGUCGAUUCCCGCAGAUGGCGCCAAAUGUUGAUGCACAAAACCAGAGGUCUUGGAACAACAUAAAUCCGACCGUGAAUCUGCAUAUAAUGUAAAUAACACAAGAUGUAUCGUGGUUCACCCCAAGGUUUGGGCUACGUCCACAUUGAUUAUAUAUUUAUGAGAGGAUUGUGAGGGAGAGAAACCUCUGUAAUGUGAGAGAAGAUGUGAGAGGGGUGAGAAGGCUCCAGAAUUGGCAUCCUCUAAUUGUGAGGGUGAGGGGUCAUUUUAUAGAAUAAGGACUCCUCACUUAUUACAUAUUUGCCCAUUCAUUUAUCACAUAAUUACAUUUAAGUCCCUCGAGUAUUUGUACGAGAUUUAAAUACGAGGUCCUAAAUAUGGUAUAAACAUAUUUAUUUUAUGAAUAGCACAGAGAAAACAAUAAUCAUGGUUUGGAUAAAUAAGAUUAUGUUAAAAAACGAAGUUGAUUUCGUUUUUUUUUUUUUUUUUUGAGAGAGUAUUGUACAACGACGAAUUCAGGAUGUGAACUUUGGGGAUCCUAAUGUUAAAUAUAAGUUUUUUAGAAUGAAAUAGAGCGAGAAACACGUAAAAAAAAGUUGACUCACUUGGUAGGCUUGUUGUGCACAUGUCAACAAAAAGCGGCAUAUGCCGAAGCAAUCUAAUGAGUGAAUAACGAGAACUUGUCGAGUGUUGUCAACGCAACAUGUUGAGAUAUGCCUAGCAUGCAUGACAUCAAACAUUUAGUAGGCACAAAAGGGCCCUAUAACAAACAUUCAGAUGGUUAUCGGAAGACCUUUACAUGUAUAUUUUCCGAACUCGGGUGAUCCUGAUACCACCUUGGUCUCUAUUUCCAUCUGCCCAUAACUGUAUGGAUGAUAAACUAAUUGGCUAACUGUUUCAAAUGGUUUACUAUCUUUAUCUUUGGCUUAUGACUUUAAGUGUAGUAAACAAGCAGUUGUUUCUUGGAAUAAAUGAGUUUGACGUAGAUGUUUUUUUACCACGUAAUUCUAUUUUAUUAUGGCAUUUCUUCACAAUAAGCUUUAAACUCGUGAUUUAUUGCUUCAUUGGGGUUCUCUUUGAGUCGAUGUGCUAUUUGUGUUGUAAGGCUACUGAAUCUGCUCAUCAUUUAUUGUUCGAUUGCUCACUUUCUUUGGUAAUUUGACGUGUUUUAGCCUUAUUUACGUUAUUCUUCGACAUCAAAUAUUUUUUUUUGUUAUCCUAUGAGGUGCAGUUUUGGUACUCAUCUUUAGUUAUUAUAGUGGGGUCUGAUUGGGGUAAGUUUUUGUCACUUUGGCAAGCUCGUAAUUUAAUUUGUUUUGAAGGAAAAAUAUUUACAGUUGAUCAAUCGGUUAAUGCCAUUCUCUUGCAAGUUUGUGAGGUGAAUUCUUGGAGUAUGUGUUUUAUAUUAAACUCAGUUGAUGAGCUUUGCAUUCUCAGAGCGCUUGGAGUGCAUCAGAAGGCAUUCGAGGGCGCCUGUAAUUCAUGAGGUUCUUUGGCUUUCUCCUUGUGCUUUUCAAGAUAAAGUUAACAUUGAUGGUGCAACUCGUGUUUCUCCGGGCGUGGUUGGUUUGGUGCUAGUUUUCACACACCUAUUUUGACUUCUCACACAUCCUUCUCAAUUUUCGGUCGUUAGAUCGAAUGAAUUGAAGAAGAUUAAUGACCUAAAAUUAACAAGGAUGUAUGAGAGGUAAAAUUAAAAAUAAGUGUGUGAAUAACACUAUCCUUAGUGAUAUGAGUGUGUAAAAUAAAACGAGGUGACUGAAACAGGAGUUGGAGUUAAAAAGAAAGCUUAGUAAAAUGUAACAGGUGGCAGCUUACUUCUGUUGAAGGUUUGUUUAAGAAAGUGUUGGUAGGUUAAUUGUAUAGAUGGUGCCUAGUUUUUGUGCUAAAAUCUAUCAUUUUUCACCCAUAUAGUUUGACAAAUUAAACUACGACCUCAAAAGAGUUGGACUGUUACAUACGCAUGAAUGCUAAACAUUUUAGGACGCGUUUACAUAACCGUAAUCAAAAUAGAUGAAUUGGAUUGAGAAGGAAUUUGAUUAAGGAUGAAUUGAAUUGAGGAGGAAUCAGAAUCGGAUUCCUGUUGAAGCUGUUUACUUAAAUGUUCUGGAAUCGAAGUAAAAAUGAAACUAAAUUCAUAUAAGUUGUUUACCAGUUCACCUGAAUCGGAAUGAAAAUUAAUAUGAUUACUAAAAUACCCUAAUCUAAAUAAUAGAAAAAUUCAUAACUUUUUAAUACAAUUCCACACACACACACAUAUAUGUAUAUAUAGUUUUAUUAAAAUAUUAACAAUUCCCGUCGGAAAAUAUUGGUGCAUUUUUUUACAUUGAAAUAAAUCUCCCAACAGCUUUCUAGAACCCACAGGUUCUCUACAUCAUCGUUGUUCCAUAUUAUGCUCUGCUCUUCUUCUUCUUUUUCUUCUUCUUCUUCUUCUUCUUCUUCUUCUUCUUCUUCUUCUUCUUCUUCUUCUUCUUCUUCUUCUUCUUCUUCUUCUUCUUCUUCUUCUUCUUCUUCUUCUUCUUACAUAAAUGUUAUGGAAUCGGAGUAAAAAUGAAACGAAAUUCAUAUAAGUUGUUUACCAAUUCACCUGAAUCGGAAUGAAAAUUAAUAUGAUUACUAAAAUACCCUAGUCUAAAUAAUAGAAAAUUUGUAACUUUUUAAUACAAUCCCCCCCCCACAUAUAUAUAUAUGUAUAUAUAGUUUUAUUAAAAUAUUAACAAUUCCCGUUGGAAAAUAUUGGUGCAUUUUUUUACACUGAAAUAAGUCUCCCAACAGCUUUCUAGAACCCACGGGUUCUCUACAUCAUCGUUGUUCCAUAUUCUGCUCUACUCUUCUUCUUGUUUUUGUUGGGUACUGUGAACACUUUGGGGCUUGGCUUUCUGGAAACAGCACGAAACUUUGAUCGUUUAGCUAUUUGGGGAAGAUAGAAAUAUGGUGUUUUGGUUUGCCCAAAUGAAAAGUUUUGGUUUUUAUGAAGGUAGAGGUGUUUUAGGAGUAUACAUGGGUAUUUUGGGUACAAAAUUUUGAUUCCUGAUGGAGUGUUCUACCUGAAACUCAAAUACUACCUCUGUAACAUCCCACAUUGCCUAGGGGAGUGGAUCAUGUAAGCCUUAUAUGUAUAUUCUCAUCUCUACCUAGCACGAGACCUUUUGGGAGUUCACUGGCUUCGGGUUGUGUAGGAACUUCGAAGUUAAGCGAGAAAUGGGCCAUACCAUUCCCAGGAUGGGUGACCCACUGGAAAGUUAUGCUCGCGUGAGUUCCCAUAAACAAAACUGUGAGGCGUGGUUGGGGCCCAAAGCGGACAAUAUCGUGCUACGGUGAAGUCGAGCCCGAGAUGUGGUGGGGGCAUGGGGGGGGAUGUGACAACCUCUAUAGAAGUAAUUCAAUUCCGGGCAAUUCUGGAAUUGAAUUCCUGAUAUUAGGUGGUCCUCACAAAAAUUCCGAUUCCCUAAUUGCUAGUAAACGUCGGAAUGGAUUGGGAAAUGUACAAUUCCGUUUCUCUCGAUUCCAUUCCCGAUUGGUAAACACGCCUUUAGUAUAUCACAUACAACAAUCAUGGUGCAACUAGAAAAGCAACUUUUAACAGAACGAUAAAAUUAAGUUGAUUUAUAACAGUUUUAUGAGAACGUGAGGACAACAAUUAUGCCUAGCAUGGUGCAUCCCUGCUAGCGGACAACUUAUGGACAUCUUCUCGCAUAAAUAAUCGAGUCAACUAGAGAAAUCUGUAAUCGCAAUUUUACUACUUAGAAUUCUCAACCCACCAAUUGAACGGAUGGAUCAAGUUUUAAUUAGAAUUGUUGAUAUUCAAGUAUGUUAGUUGUAAUUAGAUUAAUAUUAGUUGAACUUAACCACCUAUUAAACGGAUGGAUCGAGUUUUUACCUGAACAUAAAUUUUUACAGUUUACAACCGAACCCAAACCAACCCGACCAAACUGAUUUCCGUUGAAUUAGUCGGGUUCAAUCCAAUUUAUGGUAAUUCUGUAAAAAUAAGGUUACAACUUAAAAGCGGGUAAAACCAACGUGGCAACAUAGCAAUGGUCGUUUGCCGCAGUGUUGUUGAGCCCAGCGCAUAUUCCUGGUUUCAAAACAAAGUUGAGCGCCGCCGUCAAUAUUUUUCUGCGCCGUAAUAUUAAAGCAAGUUAACUUUAACAAAAAAAAAUUUCGGUAUUAUUUAUUUUAACAAAAAAUCAAAAUUUUUACGCUAAAAAAUCAAUUCUGAUGCUAUUUACUUUACUUUUUAUUUUGUUUUUAUCGUAAAACACAAUGUCUAUUUUUUAUUAAUUUUUCUUAUUUAAUUUUCAUCACCACUUGGUAUUUGUCUAAUCACUCGGUAUUAGCUUUCUCAAUCACAAACACCUCAGUCCUCAAAACCCUUUCAAUAUUGAGGGUUUUCGACGAUCCAUUUGUUCCCACUGAGGUGCUUCCCAUUUUUUACACCGCAUUUUACGAUUGAUUUUGAUUUGAUUUUUCAUGACCUGGGUUGUGGGAUUUGGAUGAAAAGGUGAAUUGGGUUGGUGGGUAUUUGAAGAAAGAGCACAAGGGUUUGUAAUUCUUGGUGUGGAUUGGGUCCUCCAGGUGUUUGAUAAAAAGCGCAAGAGGGUUUUUGGGUUUUUUGGAGUGGGAGAAUGGGGCAGAAGAAGAAGAAGCGUGGAGGAGGGAGUGGGAAGAAGAAGAAGGCCUUGAAAGAUCAUGGGGCUUAUGUUGGUGAUGAUGAUAAUGAACUUCUUUCUGAAGAGAUCACUGCCUUGUAAGUGACUCUUCUUCUUCUUCUUCUUCUUCUUCUUCUUCUUCUUAAAUCCUUUUAUUCUUCGAAUAAUCGACUCAAAACUGCAUGUGGGGGGACAAACACUGUGAUCACCAUGAACAACUUGGGAUGACAAAUUGAACAGUCAGACGCAACUGGAUUGUAUUUUAUGGCAACUUUGGAUAUGCACCAUUACUAGAAUUAAUCACAGCUUCAAAUGGAUUGAUUGGAAAUGUUUUCCAAAUGAUAAUGGAAAGUUUGCAAUUGUAAUCUUUUAAGUGCCACCAAUUCGAACAAUUCCCUUAAGUUUUGGAGAGGCAAUAUUCCUCUCUUUUAAGUCACAGGUGUGAAGUCUGUAGCUCAUGGGAUAAAAAAGAAUGGAAUUCUUUUCAGUUUAUUAUUGUUGGCCAAUAAACCUCUAAAAGUGGUUUCAGUGUCAUCACUGAAAGGACAUUGACUCUAUUGCAAAAACUGAAUUGUUAUCUUUUUUCUUUUCAUUUCCCUUUACCCCCGUUUUGCACCGUAUGGUAGUUACUGCCGAACUUAGCAUGUUUGGCAUGGGGGAUGCAUUUUGUUCCAUUGUUUGUUGUGUCUAAAGGAUAUCAUCUACCCAUUAUCAUGUUGUAUUGUAUUUGAGUAUCAGGUCUUCCCAUCUGCUUCAUUCUCUUUUUGCUGAUUUUACUUUUGAGUGUUCAAGGUCUGGUUAUUUGAGGAACAAAUCUGGAGGACAAUACUUGGAUGGUUGUAAAUUAAUGUCCUUACUUUGUAUUAUUAUUAUGUAAAUCAUGCACUAUUAUGUUUAUAAAAAAUGUUGAUGCCUCUGUUUGAAAGAUUCAUGAUAAUCAUCUGAGGCAUUUACUUCUGUCUCAUAAUUUGUAUUGCUAUUCGUGUGGGAUGUUUAGGUGUGCAAUAUUUCAAGACGACUGCAAAGUUAUGUCUGGAUCACAUCCUCAAAUCAUUAUUAAGAUUAGGUAUGUCUUAUUUAUUUUUAGAUGAAACAGUUCAUGAGUUAGACUCCUCUUGAUUGAGAUUUUGUUCUCUACUGCAACAGGCCUCAUUCUAAGGAUAUGGGUUAUGAGGAUCUAGAUGUUUCUGCACUUCUUUCAGUUAGGUUAGUGAAUUUCUUUUCUAUAUUGCGUUUAUUUUUGGUUUAUAAAUAUUCCUUCCCAUGCAUCUUAAUGUUCUCUUGUUUGAUAGGUGCUUACCGGGGUAUCCUAACAAGUGCCCAAAGUUGCAGAUAACUCCAGAGAAAGGUUUAUCAAAAACUGAUACUGAUAGACUGCUAUCUCUUAUUCAUGAUCAGGUAUUAUUAAUUAUUUUCCUAAAACCUUAUUGAUAGUUCUUCGAGUUCUUCUGUGAUGGAGUGUAUAUGCGGUUACAAGCGCAACAGUUAUUUGUCUUAAUCCUAAAAAUAUUGUAUGCCUUAAAGAUUAGCGGCUAUUGGCCCAUUGGCCAAGUUGGUUUUGAUAUACUGACGGCUAUGUAUGAGGAAAUGUUUUCAAAAUUUUCCCUGAAACAAACAGAAACAGUGCUCUUCCACCCAAUCUUCAUUUUAAGAGAUAAUGUCACACAAGGAUUUUACACUUGCAUGGAAAAUAUCGUUGGUCAGUCUGACACAUAAUAAACUAGUGUGCAGCUAGUGCCUUUUUGUGUGGUUCUGUUCUAUUCUUAAUUUAAUUGUUCUGUUUCAGGCAAAUUCUAAUGCUCGAGAAGGACGGGUAAUGAUUUUCAAUUUGGUAGAGACUGCCCAGGAAUUCCUAUCUGAAAUUGUGCCAGUGAGCCAAUCACAUGGACCUGUAAGACUUCUCUAUCAUCAUAUUUGUGCAUUUGUUUGUUCAUUCAAAUGUGUAUGCUGUUCUAAUUAACCAUGUUUGCUAACCGUCAUCUUGGUGGUCUGGAUUAUUCUUGGAUUUUGACAUGCUGCCAUUGGUACCAAUGCUAUACUGUGUUAAUUAUGGAUAGGUUCCAAGUAUAAACAAACAAAGAGACUAUAAGGAAUAAUUGCACCGCAUUCCAAUCAAACACAUCUCCGAUGCCUGUUUAGAAACCUUUUUGUUGCACCCCUAUCUCUAAGGGCAAGGUUUCGUAUGAUACAUGGUCCACAAGAAUAAGACAAUUAAUAUUGACAACUAUGAAGACUGCAUCUUUUGAUGUGUUAAUUAUGAAUUUGAAUCUUGUAUUUUUAGGUGUAACCUUCUUUAACAUGUAGAUCUGAAAAGUUCACUCUCAUUUCUUGAUGAAAUUUUGCGUAUCAUUACUUCUCUACUGGUUGUUUGAUUGAUGGAUGCUUUGUAUAUUCAUUUCUCAUGGAAGGUAAUAUGUCCGACUACGGAUAGCAGUGCUCAAUUGUUUCAGAAGGACAUUGCAAUUUUAAGUAACAAGAAGGGGCCUUUUGUUUAUGGUUUCAUAGACCUGUUCAUUGGUUCUGGAGAGUCUUGGAAUUGGGGUUUUGGAGUGGAUGAAACCAGUGGGAUAAAUCCAUCGGUACCAUCCCACACGGAUAUAAAGCAAAGCCCAUUACAAAAGGCCCAUCCUAAAGUUAUGCGUGAUAUUCAGGAAAAGAAACUGGAUAAGCAUGCAGAGCAGACAAGUUUACAAGAUGUAAAGCAAAGCCCAUUACCUUCCCCUACGGUCCAGUUAGAUACCCUUGGAGAAGAUAGUGAAGAUGGCAACAAGAGCAUGUAUUUUACAGAUUCAAGUAGAUUGUUGUUGGAGGAAUCUGUAGAAAAUGGUGGUAAAGCUGAGAAAGAGGUGAGUAAUUUAAUAUCUUUUCUUUGGGCAGAUUAUAACAUGAUAUUAUUUGAUGUUUGAAUGCGCAAAUGUGGAUGAAUUUCACACACACACAUACAUAUAUUCUUGUAUUGCCUUUUUGUCUACAUAUAUUGUUUUAUUUAUUUACUCUUGUUUUUAAAGUAAUAGAGUGCGAAGAGAGAUUUUGUAUCUUGUUAGAAGGCACAACAAGGACAUGUGAGUACAGAUUAUCAUGUAUUCUUUUGGCGUCUUUGGUUGGAGAGAAAUAGGAGGGCUUGAUGGGAAUGAACUUUUUUAUUUUUUAUUUUUGGAGUAGAAAGAUCACCUUUUUUUUAGCUUUAUAAAAAUUAUCUCAAAAGAGAGAUACUUUUCUUAUCUUUCAUUUUCGUCCACUUUUGAUUGGCAUACCAGUUGUGCACUGAGCUAGUGUUGAAUUGGCAUCUUGCACACCCAAAUGAUUCAACCCUGAUGCUCUCUUGGUAUGUAGAAUCAAUCAUACCACAAGGCUGCAGACAAAUUUUCUUGUGUGGAUGAAUGAAUACAAAGAGAAUUCUGAACAAGUUAUGCCAGAUCAUUGAAUAGAAGGCAGUGACCUUGACGAAAUUUGUUAUUUCUGGACAUUGCUGUUUGAUAAUAUUGUUUUGGGUUCAUGGUCUGUUUUUGAAUAGGAAGUUUUAUUGGACACUCUAUGAUACCGCUACAUACUUUUAUGCUUUUACAGAAUUUGGUCGUUAAGGAUGAUUCAACAGAAGAUGAGUGGGAAUCUGGAAGUGAGCAAUCAGAGUCACUCUCAUUUGCUUCCUUGGGUCAUGAUCAAGUGUCUCAAGAUGUUACAAAGGAUCUCAUAAUGGUAAUUUUAUGUUUUCUUGUCUUUUCUACACAGAAUUUUGAUCCUAAAUUUCCUGUUGGGUAUUGUUUCCUCUUAUGUUAGGUUCAUCUACUCCGUCUUGCCUGCUCUUCGAAAGGACCAUUGGCUGAUGCCUUGCCACAAAUAACCACAGAAUUGGAGAAGUUAGGAGUAUGCAACUCUAUUCAUCCAGUUAACUUUGUUAACCCAUACACUUACCAGAUUCUGAUCUCUGUUAAUUUCAUUUUCAGAUUUUAUCAGAAUGGGCAAAGGAGUUAACUUCUAAACCACCUUCAGUUUUGAACAGAAUAUUUGAUCAUGCUUUCAGACAACAUAUGGUUCGUCAUCCCCCUUUUUAAUUUCUUUGCUGCUAAGAUCUGGCUUCUAAAGCCAAUUCACAUUGUUACAAACCUUCUCUUAUCUAGGUUGCAUCCCAAAUCUCUCAAUUUUGGGAACCCGCGUCUGAUUUCGAUGGGCCAAGUACAUCUCUCCCAAGCUCUCGGUAUCUUAAUGACUUUGAGGAGCUACAGUCCCUUGGUAAAGAAAUUUUUUUUGUAUGUUUUUUCAUUUUGUUUUCCUAAUAGCUCAAUAGCCUCAGUUGUUCUUUAAGUGUGUCUCUAGGUACUAGGUGGGUAGUUUAUUAUGGGAUUUUUGAUUGGCUGAGCUAGUUAUAGAUUAUAAUUUGGUUAGUAAAAUAAAAAAAAGUUAUGGAUCCCUGGGGGUGUCCAUCCAUAGUAGACAAUAAAAAUUACUCUUUGAGCUCUUGUAUUUGUUUUGUUUUGUGCUACGAAAAUUUAUCUAUUUUUAUUUAAAUGUAUUUAUUUUAUCUUCUUAUAUGGUAAUUUACAGAUAAUGCUAUAAUAGGUUUUUCAUACCCAAGAAAAACCAUGGAAAUUCUUGUUAUGUUGAUGUAUGCUAUGUAAAAGCACUUGAACAACAGCUUGUCAAGCUGUCAUUGUUAUUCUUGCCCUUCAUAUCAGCCUUGAAAGGUGCAAAAUUAUUGAUCAAAAUAGAUAGAAAAGUUGAUAAGCAAGUAAUAUUGUAGCUUGUCUAUUUCUUCACUGGUUUAUUAUGUGCAAAAAAGAGGUGGAAUUUGGUGCUCACUUGUUUUAUGCUGUCCAUAUAGUUUGUAAGGCAGGGGUAAAUUGGGUUAUUCCUCAAUCACCUCGAAACAUUCUUUUUCAGAAGUAUUUGCCUUUUGAUGGUGGAACAAACAGCAAGAAUUUUGUGGAUUUUUCUGUAUUAGUUGCUUUUUAGGUAAUUUGGAUGGAGAGAAAUGGAAGAAUAUUUGAAAACUAUAGUGGGGAUGUAGAAGUAAUUUCUUGGGAAAAACUCAGGUUUUGGGCAUCAUUAUGGGUUUCUUUUCCUCCAGCCUUAAGGGAUAUGUCAUAUAUUGUAAUUUUAUUACAUUAGAGGCCCUGCUGUAGGAUAGUUUCGGGAGAUGUAUUACAAUGUAAGAGGGUAUUUUGGUUUUGUUUUGAGGAUUGUAUCUCUGGUUCACUAUGUUUUGUAUUUCCUUUUACUCUUAUAAAUAAUCUUCCAACUGGCAUUGCACUUUGUACUUUACGAAGUUUUUUAUAUUUAUUCGUCGGAGGAAUUUUGUUUUAUUUGAAGUAUAACCAGGAAUAUUCUUUUUCAAAAUCUGGUACAGGUCAUGGUGGCUUUGGCCAUGUUGUAUUGUGCAAAAAUAAGCUAGAUGGAAGGCAGUAUGCAGUGAAGAAAAUUCGCCUCAAGGAUAAAAGCCUUCCUGUUAAUGAUCGAAUAUUGAGGUAUAUUAAUGUUUCCCGCACAAAUUUGAAAUUUUGGAGUCGUUUAGCCUAGAAAAAUUUCCUUUCACGAACCAUGAAACUGAUUAGUCAUUUGUCAAUGGGUCUUUGUAUUGUUAAUUUCAAGAUAGUAACUUUAUAAGGAAAUAUAAACGUAAUUCUGCCAAAGAAGAAAAUUAACUAUGGAGUGAACUUAAGUUAUGGGAUGAGGGGGCCAGUAAUCAAUUACAAUUUCUGUAGAUUCUUAAACACUCUUAUGGACUACAAAGGUUCUCAUAUGACUUUUGUAUUGAAUAAUAUAUAUUUUUUGUAAAACUCCACAUAGUUAAGUGAGCAACCUUUGGAGAGUUUUAUAUGGUGUCUGAUAGAGUUUGGCAGGUUUCUUUCAUAUAUUCGUACAGAUUUGUGAAGAUAUAUUUUUGCUUAUGCUUAUGUAAUUUGUGACAAAUAAACUGUAAAUUAUAUAGUUAGCUGUUCCAAAGAUCUGCAACACGUAGGCCUGGUGGGUUCAUUAAAUUUUGGCCUGUCCCAACCGCUUAAAGCGAUGAGUCUAAGCCCCGGCCUAUUGCCUAGCUUUUGUACCCUAACCUUUCUAUUGCUUUCCAUAUCUCUUUUUAUUCAUUUUCAUCGUUAUCUUUUUUUCCUUGCAAUUUUUAACUGUAUUUACUAGUAUAUUAUUUUGUAUAUAUAUAAUUCUUUUUGUUUCUAGCAAACUUGUCAAAAUGUUAUAUCAAAUAUUCUUUGCCCAUUCAUAUAUUUCAAUCACUAUCAUAGUAAUAGCUAUUAAAAAUUCGUUGUCUUUUCAACACAAUUGUGAAUCUAACAUCUUAAGUAGAUAUAUGUUUAAAAUGUAUAGCUGAAAUAAUUUUUUUCCGUGUUCUAAAAUUUUUUUGUGGCUCAACUUUGGCGAGAUACUUAGGGAAGUAGCUACACUUUCUCGUUUGCAGCAUCAACAUGUUGUACGAUACUAUCAGGUAAAAACUUUCUUAUUUCCUGCUUAUGCAUUUAAUGGCAUGCUUCUGCAAGUUCUGUAACAAUUUCUUGUUUUUUAGUUUCUAUGAUUUUGUAUAUGCAAUAUUGUGUCAGCCUACGUUUGUUUUCAAAGCAGCUUGCAUUGGGAACUGUUCUUUGAUAUUGAAAAGUUUAAUUUUUAGGGAGGUUAUUUUUUCUUACAAUCUUUUGUCUUCACAAUGGUUCUAAUAUGUAAUAUUUGCAAGCACUUCCAGGCGUGGUUUGAAACAGGGAUUAUUGGUGUUCAUGGUGAUACCAUGUGGGGUUCAAUGACUGCAGCCAGCACCACUUUCAGCUUCAAAGGUACAAACUCGGCAGAUGCUCUUGGGAAUGAGAAUAAGCUUGAAUCGACUUAUCUGUACAUUCAAAUGGAAUAUUGCCCAAGGUAAACUUCUAUUUUGAUUUGUUUUGAUUUGUUGUAUCUUAAGAUAUAUACUCAAAGAUUGAAUUUAAGAUGCGUAGUGGUUGGUUAGUUUUUUUACCAUUUUACAUCUGUAAGUACUGCAAUCUGGUUCAUCAUGGUAUUGUUUUGAACCAUUGCAUCACCCUUUUGGUAGUCUAGUUUUUCUUAUGCAAUUUAGAAAGUAAGACAUAUCUUUUGUUGUCACUAAGACUUUUUUAUUUUAUUACUCCUCAUAGUCCAUUGUUAAAUCCUUAUUGACUGCUACCUGAUAUGAGUCCUAGUGAGGCUUAUCUUUUGUUGCUUGAGAGUUUUUAAUUAUUGGGCUUCCUGAUUGACUGCUCCCGAUCAUCCAUCAUUCCUCGUAGAAUCCUUAGAGAAACCUGCAACUAUGAUAAUAUUACUAAGCUUGUAAAUAACUAAAUAUUGAAUCGGCAUUGAGGUCAGAUUUUAAGUAUAUCUAAAUUUGAGACUGUCACAAUGUAUGAUAGGUAAAAGGUAAAAAAAGAUGGGAAAUAAAAAUUGAAAAGAAAAAUGAGAAUACAAAGGAGCUGAAGGAAACUGUCUAUAGGCUCUGUACUGUUCCAGUUUUUUGUUGGUUUAUUCUCUAUUAUUCCUUGCACCUUGCAGCAGGUCUAAUUUAAAAUUCUUUCAUUCAUUGAAUUUAGUUCCAUAAAUCCUUAAAAUAUGCUUUUUUUGCCGAGUUUUUAUCUUACAUGUUUCUUACUCUUUUAUUUUAUUUCUAUUUUAUGGUUUGAAGGACUUUACGCCAAAUUUUCGAGUCAUAUAGUCGUGUUGACAAAGAAUUAGCAUGGCAUUUGUGUCGUCAAAUUGUUGAAGGCUUGGCACAUAUACAUGGACAAGGCAUCAUUCAUCGGGACUUAACCCCAAGCAACAUAUUCUUUGAUGCGCGUAAUGAUAUUAAAAUUGGUGAUUUUGGUCUGGGUAAGUUUGGAUUUUCUUAUAUAACAUCAUUACACUUCAGUAAGUCUUAGUUUGAGAACUAUGUAGUCUGUAGAGCUUUUUAUGUACUUGCAUUCAGGUCUUUUUUUUAAAGUGUACUUGUUAGUUUCUCAAGAGUACGGUGUGUCAUAGCAAUUUCAAAUAAGUGUAUUGUGUUUUGACUAUUAUAACUGUGAGAACAUGGUAGGAAAAAGGCAUGAGAUGUGGUUACUUUCAUGACUAUUCUGUCACAAGCUACUUUUUUGAAUAAAAUUCUGUUUCUUUUGGACAUACCAAUUUUGCUUCUGUAGAAGAGUUCAGUUCCUGGGUGAUAAUAUAAAAUUUACUUUCACACACAACUCAUGAAUUUUUAUUUAAAGUUGUUUGCUAAAUUCAGGAUUUAUACUUAAUCCUCAAUGUAAUUUGUUUUGUUUCAGCCAAGUUUUUUAAGUUGGAGCAGUUGGACCAAGAACCAAGUUUUCCUCCAGAUACAGCCGGAGUUUCUCUUGAUGGUACUGGCCAAGUUGGUACAUAUUUUUACACUGCACCAGAAAUUGAGCAAGGAUGGCCAAAGAUAGAUGAAAAGGUAAAUAUUUUCGCACUUAUUUUUACGUAGUUUUACACUUGAUUGUACUGGCCAAGUUGGUACAUAUUUUCAUUAUUUUCACUUAGUUUUGUAAUUUUUUAUAGUAAGUUACACAAUAUGUCAUGUGCCACUUUUAAAGGCAUGUAAUCUGUUUUUAAUCAAAUAAUAUCAGGUAAACAUCAUUGAGUCAACUUGGAUUGCAGGCUGAUAUGUACAGCUUGGGAGUUGUAUUCUUUGAGCUAUGGCACCCAUUUGGGACUGCAAUGGAACGACACCAUGUCCUAUCUGACUUGAAACAGAAGGGCGAACUUCCUCCUGCUUGGGUUGCUGAAUUUCCUGAACAGGCAUCUCUGUUGCGGCGUUUAAUGUCUCCAAGUCCAUCAGAUCGUCCUUCUGCCACUGAACUUCUAAAGCAUGCAUUUCCACCACGAAUGGAGUCUGAGUUGUUAGACAGUAAGUAACAGUUAUAUCUCUGUAUUUAUCUUAUUAAAGCUAAUCUCAUCAGAUGAAAAACGCAGAGGUAUGAGUGUUCAGUCUAUUUCAAAUCUCUGCAGACUGCUGCACUUCUUUAUUCUAAUUGCAAAAUAAUGUCUGUAAUUGUUGGCACUAAGAGACCAAGCAUUGAUAUAUAUUUGUAGAAUAUAUUGACUUAUGCAAGUCUCUACAACUUGACUGUAAAGGAUAAUACAUGACAAAGCCAAGUAAAAUAGAAUGUGUUAGACAUGGUUUCCAACACUCCCCUCAAGAUGGACUGAAGAUGUCCAUGAAGUGCAGCUUAAACUACAGUAGCCUGAAGUACAGAUGAACAUCCGUACAACUUGAUAUCACAGAGCAAGUAGAAUUAUAUGUCGGGAUCAGUCAGAUUGACCGAAAAGAAGAUAUGGUCCAAAUGACGUUGGUUAAAACCAAUUAUAUGAUCACUAUACAACUUUUGCUAAACCAAGUGGUUGGUGAUUGUUCUUGGGCUGGUUAAACCCCACCAGCUCCUCACUCUGAAACCUAGUUGGAGGAUCUUCGUGCUGGGUGAUUUGUUAAUUUUUUUUUCCCACAAAUCAGUUAGUAUUUCAUAUGUGUUUGAGUCCUGCUAAGACAUCCCCCGAAGAACCUUUUGGAAUCUCUCAAUUCUGUGGGUGAUUCUUGGUUAUCUGACAGUUUUUCUUUAUUUAUUUUUCAUUAUUAUUUUUAUUGUCAUUCAUAAUUUUUAUAGGGAAUACAAUUUCUUUGUACCUGGUGCUGGUCCAACAUGUUCUCUGGGGAGGAUGGUGAAGAUGUUUCUUUGUGAUUCAUAAUACAUACCCUUGUUUUCUCUUUCGAAGCAAUAUUUAGAAUUUUUCAACUGAUUCCAUUAAGUUUUGAGUUGCUUGAGUAAAUGCUUUUCUUCAAUAUGCUCAGAUAUUCUACGAACAAUGCAAACCUCAGAGGACAGAAGUGUGUAUGACAGAGUUCUGAAUGCCAUCUUUGAUGAGGAGAUGUUAAGCGUGAAAGAUCAGCAACAUCGUGAUGGAAGUGUGGGAUUAGGUGGAAGGGAUACUUCUGCUGUGCAGUAUGCAGAUUUACAAACCGAGGCUCGUGAUUACGUUGUUGACAUCACAAGGGAGGUGUUCAGACAGCAUUGUGCAAAACACCUUGAAGUAAUACCUAUGCAUUUGCUAGAUGAUUGCCAACAGUUCAAUAGGUUUCUUUCUUGAACUCUUCGUAUUGUGUUUACUAUAAUGUUUUUAUGACAUAGAAUUACUUUCUGUUUCUUUUUAUGUGUUCAUUCAUACUGAUUAUUUGUUAUAUCCUACAAGGAACACUGUCAAACUUUUAACCCACGGAGGAGAUAUGCUUGAACUUUGUCAUGAGCUGCGCUUGCCUUUUGUUAGUUGGGCGAUCUCCAGCCAGGUAUUAAACAAAUCAAAACACAUGUUUUGUUGCUCGUUUUUCUUAUUGGUUUCAUUCUUGUUGUACAAGAUACAAACAUUAAUCCUUUUCAGUUCCUAAGUUAACUUCUUAUUCCUUGGUUGAACAUGCUGGUUCAGCAGUUUUGAAGCUCUGCUUGGGUCUUGUUAUUUUCCUUUUUGAAGCUAAGCGUGGCUGCAUCCUAAGUAGAUAUCAUACAUGUUGGCAAAAUCAUUACAAAAGUACCCGUAUACAAAGGGAAACUAGUAGUUUCAUAAGUAGUUGAAGGAGUAAUGGGACUUGAGUUAUGUAUGCUGGAAAUCUACUUAUCUUAUCAAUUUCUACAAGGUUCAGAAUCUCAGUGAGAUUUCACAGAUAUUUUCGGUUUUAUAAGGAGAGAUAAUGGCAGCAAAAAACAAUUAUAUCAUUGUUUUUCAUUUUGCCAAGUUUAGAAAAAUACUGGCGUUCUUUUAAGGGAAGGACUAGGAUAAUUCUGUAACAUAGAUGAAAAUAGAAACAAAAAAAAUAUGCCUUUUAGCAGCAACAAGGGUGGGUGACAGACAAGGGCUCGCUUUUAAUGAUAAAUUAUAUAUACUGAAUUCUGAACAGGAAAAUCAUAGGAAUGUGGAUGCAGACAAUUUGGAGAUGAGAAUGCUAAAAUGGGUGGUUUGAAAGGGUCGCACGAUGGAUUUAGGAGAGUCUACUUGUGAAUUACUGAUUGUUCAUUUAAUAGGUAAGAAUCAAUUGAAAGUUGAAACCUAAGUUACUGUUUGCAAGAAGAUCAAAGUUAGAUGAAAGUCUACAGUAGAGCACUGGAAACAGGGAGUGGCCGAGGUUCAUUGAACCCUGAGCUAAGUUUUUAAUGCUGACAGUAUGAUAAGUUGAAAAAAAAUAACGUGUAUUUGUUAUACAAGCUUCGGACAUUAGGCAGUGUAAUGUGUCCAUCCAAUAACUGAUGCCUAGUUUCAAUCAUGCAUUCCACCAUUGCAAAAUUCUGAGGACAUAACUCAGUUAACAAUGGAUUUGUUUGGAACAUGAAUUAUUGUUUUAUGUUUAACCGAGAUAGAUUUAUUUAUAAGAUGAAAUUAUUGCUUUAUAAGUUUAUAUACAUGCUUCUUUUGUCUCUAAAAUUUUAUGAUAAAGUCAGGGCGCAUAACUUGGCCAUUCUACUUGUAGAAAUCUUCAUUCAAACGUUACGAAAUAUCCUCUGUGUACAGAAGACCUGUUGGACAUUCACCCCCAAGUCGCUACCUGCAGGUAUCUCUCUCUCAUUAUAUUUUAUCUGUAUAGAAUGUUUUUAAAAUGUUUAUGCUCUAUAGUUAACUGUACUAUGAUUUGCUGCCUAAGUUGAUGUUUGUGGCUUAAUAAUACAACCUUAUGUCAACACAGGGUGACUUUGAUAUUAUUGGAGGCGCAUCAGCAUUAACAGAGGCAGAAGUCAUCAAGGUGAUACAUUAUCUGAUUUAUUUAUUUAUCCCUGAUUUAUUUAGUUAUCAUUAUUGGAGGUGCAUCAGCAUUCAACAAAUAUCACGUUAUUUCUGGACAAUAAUUUGUUUUUUGUUGGUAAUUGACUAGCAUGCGCUGGCCAAUGAGUUGUGCUGUAGGCUUUAUAGCAUAUGCUUCAUAAGUGUGUCUCAUCUUGCAGGUGACAAGGGACAUUAUAGCUAGUUUUUUUCAUUCAGUUUUUUGUGAUAUUCAUCUAAACCAUGGGGACUUACUGGAGGCAAUUUGGGCUUGGGUAGGAGUCAAGGCAGAGCAUAGGCAGAAAGUAGCAGAGGUACACAGUUGAUGUAUUCCGGAUAUUUCCAUAAACAAUCUGUGUAUUUCAUUGAUGGUAUGAUGACUCAUAGAUGCUUCCCUUUCUGAAUGCAGCUUCUGUCUAUGAUGGGCUCUUUACGUCCUCAAUCUUCUGAGCGGAAAUCCAAAUGGGUGGUAAUCAGGCGUCAGCUUUUGCAGGUUUGAUAAAAAUUAUUAAGUAUUUGCACUUUCUAGUUUUCCAACAAUUAUGAGUGUUCAUCAUAAAGAAAACAAUUGUAAUUGGAGUUACCUAGCAGCCGAGCAGAUAUUCUUGUCCUUAUGAUUUACUAAAUUACUAUCUAGUUUGGCAUAUAGAAACCAAAUGAAAGUUUUUAUCUGGUGUGGUUAAUUCCUUUUAUUUUUAUUUUCUGUGUUGUUUUUUCCCUUAAUAAUGAAGUGAACAAUGUCAGGACUGUGAAAUGUUUUUCCGACAAACCAAAAUAGAUUGUCAAGUUAUAGGAUCUUCGAUUAUAUAGAUUUUUAUCUAUCUAUUUUGUUUGACAAGAAACAUAUUUUCCGUAAUAAAAGGAAACAUUAAAAAAACAUGGGAGAAGUUGUCCACUGCACAAGCAGUCUACACAACUACAACAGUUACAGAGUACAGAAUCGUAACAUUACAGGAAUUGAAAUCUAAAAUACAAAAAGAGUUUGGAGGAUCGUCUAGUUUGGUAGCUAUGUUGUCGUACAGUUAAACUAGCACAAAAAGAGUUUUGUUAACUCAAUUGUGAAAUAAUGAUGUGAAAAUCAUUAUAUUUUGAAUAUAUUGUCGGUCAGAAAGAUUAUCUAUUUCUUAAUAAUUAUUUUCUUUGACAGGAACUUAAUUUACCGCAAGCUGUUGUAAAUAGGUUGCAAACUGUUGGUUUACGGUUUUGUGGACCUGCAGAUCAGGCACUUGCUAGACUGAGGGGAGCCUUGCCAACUGGUAUUUUUUUUCAUGACUGAUGUAAAUACAUGUACAUCAAAUGAGAGAUGAUAAUCAAUAUCAGAAAUUUAAUGCAGAUAAACAAACACGGAAGGCACUUGAUGAGCUGUCGGAUCUCUACAGCCACUUGAGAGUUUGGAGGAUCGAACGAAAUGUUUACGUAGAUGCACUUAUGCCACCAACUGAGAGUUAUCAUAGAGAUUUGUUCUUCCAGGUAUCUUAGCUUUAGAUAUACGCUAAUUUUUAGCUUUAGAUAUACGCUAAUUUUCCUUUUUCCUCUUCCAAAUAACACAGCUAUACUUUAGUAUUUCCUAUCGGAGGAAAGUUCAUAGAACUUAUUCAAUGCAUCUGAGGCAGUAGAGUGAAGAACACAUUAAACAAAUGACAUUUGAACUUUUCAAACAUAAUUAAAAAUGUUUUACGACCAAAUGGCUGAUUUCAAAAUAAGCAUAAUACUUGGGUACUGAAUAGUCAGUACCCAAAUAUACUGAUUUUGUGCCAAUAUAAAAAUGCCAUGUGUUUCUUGUUUUUUGAAGUCCAAGGAAAAUUAAAUAACAUGUUCAUUAUUCUUUAAGGAACUGUUAUUGGCACUCCAAAAUCUAAUUGUGCACUCCUUAAUAAGCGUAUUUUCUUUCUAGAUAUAUAAAGUUUAGAGUGCACAAGUAGAUAUUUGGAGUGCCAAUAACAAUCAAUUCCCAUUCUUUAAAUAAAUGACCACGUGUUAAAUAUCAUUGGCCAUCACAAAGUUAGUAUAUUGGGUGCUAACCAGUCAGUGCCCAAGAAUUGUCCACAAAAUAAUAAAUCAGUAUGGGGUUUAUCAUAGAAAUUUACAUAAAACAUAUGAGUGACCACAGAACAUUAAGCAAAGAAUUUUCACUCCCCAAAUACGUCAUUUCAUUUCAAACAGCAGUUCAAUAAUAAAUAUAAAUAAUUCAAAUACUACACCUUACAAGACCAACACAUUAGUCUCCUGAUGUAUGUACUCAAUUGCGCAUGUCUCUUUUGUGUUUGCUAGUUUGUUAGUGUGAUGUUUAUUUUUUAGAAGAAACAAAUUUCAUUCCAAAAAAUGAAAAUGUACAAAAAGUAAACAAGAAGUCCACCAAUGGACUGGAUAAAACCGUUUGAGUGAUUUUGUUCACUAGAAUCUGUUUGCAAUAUGUGUCCCAUCAAUAUUCUACUAUGCAAUUAAAAAUAAAAUAUAUAUUCUCAUACAAUAUUUGAUAAGAAAAGAAAUUUUUUAUUUAUAAAGAUUAAAUUAAAAUUUCUCUCCCAGGUAUAUUUAGUGAAGGACAACAAUCCUGGAUCACUUGCCGAAGGUGCACUGCUUGCUGUUGGCGGGCGCUAUGACUAUUUACUUCGUCAAAUGUGGGGUCUUGAACAUGUAAGUUACACGCAUUUACUUUCGUCUAGUUACCUUUUGUUGUUUACAGGACCAGAGAGUGCUGGAAACCACAAGAGUUCUGAGUAUAUAAUAUAUAUAGAUGUGGGUGAACAAUUGAUAAUGUGCUUGAGCUCUUUUUCAUUUGCAUAUGCCAGUGCCCUUGUUACUGCCUAAGUUGCUGAAUAGAAAAUUUGGAACUGAAUUUAGUAUGCCACCUCUGACUUGACCAUCACAAGGCAAAUUAUACUUGACUACUUUGUUAUAAAACCCAUCAUGCUACUGAAGUACUUUUACUACUUUUGAGGUUUAUGUAAAUUUUCAAAGAAAUUGCAUGAUACCAAGAAAUCAGAGGUUUAAACGUGGUAAAUCUUCAAUACCAUUCAUUGAGACAAGCAAUGUGUUGGAAGAGUUUUGUGCUUCAUAGAACAGUUUUGUUCUUAGUGGCUGUCAAAAUUUGGAGUGUUGGUGGUAUAUGCAAUUGGUGGUAGGUAUCAGAUUUUGGUAGGAUAUGUGGUUGGGAAUCACAUCUUGCAAUCACGUUUUUUAUUUUUCCUGUGAAAACAGUUGUUGCCAGGUUUGCUCCCAUGCCUUUUGAAUUGGGGAGUUGGUUUUGGAGUUGGUGAUGGCUGUAUUGUGGGUUAUCUGAAAGGAGAGACAUAUGAGGUACAAGAGCUGUGGAGAGGGCGAGGUUUUCAUCGGUCCUUAGGGUUUCAGUUACACGAGAAUUUGAGGAUUUUACUAUCUCUUUAUGGGCUAAAUUGGAAGGCAGCUAUAGGAUAAUGUGGCUGUAGUAGGUUCAUUGUUUAUCUCUGUGAAUCAGACGUACUCUUUUAUUGGUGCCUCCUUGUUUACUAAUCGUAGUGUGUCUUUCAUCUUCUCUUAAUUCAAAUUUUGUCAUUUCUAAGGAAAAAGAAAACAUAUUGAAAGGCAUUGGAUAAGUUUUACCAACCAUAUGAUUUAUAUUUAUGCUAUACUUACAUCUUGUGUUCUUUCUUUUUUUACAUUGACAAUGGUUUUUGUUUUGUUUUUGUUAGAAAUCAAAUCCUCCGGGUGCUGUUGGGACCAGCCUUGCAUUAGAGACAAUAAUUCAGCUUUCUUCUAUAGAUUUUAAACCAAUCAGGUAUAUUUUUACUAGCUUAUUUUAGUCUGUCUUGUUACGUUGCUACUUGCCGCUAAAAGUCCUCAUCAUUAUCUUUAAUUUAGAUAAAUUUCUGUAUGAUUUGAUUUUAUUCUUGCAGAAAUGAAGUUAGCAACAUUGUUCUUGUUUGUUCAAAAGGAGGAGGUGGUCUAUUGAAAGAGCGCAUGGAACUAGUCGCCGAGCUAUGGGAGGAAAACAUUAAGGUUUUGAGAUGGAAUUUUCAAAGAUUUUAUGCUACAAAUGGUUGCUUAACUGAUUCUGUGCUGACUAGCGAAUCCUUUGUCUAUUAGGCUGAGUUUGUCCCAACACCUGAUCCAAGUCUUACAGAGCAGUAUGAAUAUGCAAAUGAACAUGACAUAAAGUGCCUUGUCAUCAUAACAGACACAGGUGUUUCACAGAAAGGCUCUGUUAAGGUAAUAUAUGUGCUAAUGUAGGAAUAAUAGCUUAGCACAAUUGAUAUGUCAAAAUGUGUGUUUAUGUUGAUACCAUAAUACACUCGCUGGCAAGAGAACAUUACUAGUGUGUGUGUGUGUAUAUAUAUAUAUAUAUAUUAGUAAGUGAAUGGUUUUCUCCGUGAAAAGUAGGUAAAACCAAAGUUGGGAAGUUGAGAAAUGACAUUGCAUCUGCAGUAAGACGCUAUAAAUUUGGCAUCAAUUGAUUAAGUUCUUUUCUGCGUUUACCAUGAAGAAUUUACGUUUAGUUGGAAGUGGUCCUAGAGGAAGACCUAGGAAAACUUUGGAAGAGACUCUAAGAAAAGACUUAGAGUACUUGGAUCUAACGAAGGACAUGACACAUGAUCGAGCACAAUGGCGUUCUAAGAUUCAUAUAGCCGAUCCCACUCAGUGACUUGGAUUUUUCAAGUCUCCAACCGAGAAGUUUUCCUCACUCGGAAAAUUAAGGGAACACUACCCCAACCUACAUGCUCCACUCAGAAAGCUUCAACAUACAAGCUUCAACAAAAGAAAAUUCAAAGAACUUAGCGAAGAAGGCUUUGGUGUAUCUAACACAAUACGUUGAAAUGAAGGAAAGCUUAUUUAUUGAUAUCCCCCGAUAAGCUACAAAAUAUGUACAUAUACAUGAGUCAAAAUAAACACACAAGAGGGAGCCUUCACAAAGGUUGCUUAGGAGAAGUCUCAGCAGUCGGUAGAGCCCCAGAAAGAGAAGGCACCGGAGGGGGAUCAUUUGGAGCCUCAGUACUGGACAGAACCCUAGAAGGAGGAGGCAUCAGAGGUUGAUCAUUUGGAGCUUCAUUACGCGGUACAGCCCCAGAAGACGAAGGCAAAUAAAUGCCUUUGGAACAAACCCACAAAUCUCUGAUGAUCAAGUAAAACCUGACCAUCAGUUUCCCUUCAUCUGGUCAAGCUUCCUCUUCAUGUUUGUAGCAUAGUCAUGUGCGAGCCGGUGCAACUGUUUAUUCUCAUGCUUGAGCCCUCUAAUCUCCUGUUUGAGACUCAUCACUUCAGCCGCCAAUGAUGAUUCAACUUGGCGGGUUCGAGCAAAUAGGCGUUGGGCCAUAUUAGACACAGAACCUGCACACUGAACACUGAGAGCCAGCGAAUCCUUAACAGCUAACUCAUCAGACCGUUUGGAAAGUAGUCUGUUAUCUUUGGGAGUGAGAAGGUUCCUGGCCACCACCGCAGCGGUCAUAUCAUUCUUCAUCACGGAAUCCCCAACGGUAAGAGGACCAGUAGGGGAGACGAAGGAUGGGCGCCAUAUGUUGUCUGGAGAAGGCGGGGCUGCCUCUUUCAACAAGGUUCAAGUCAAAACGACGGUCGGAGGGGCCAGACAUUUUCAAAGGUGUUGAAGAGAGAAGAGGUCGGACAAAUCAAGAUCUUAGAAGUGCAAGAAUGAAGCUUCUACUGGUGGAGAUUCAAGUGUGCUUUGGAACUUAAUGCCAGCCCCUAUAAAAAUCUGCACUCGACGGAGCUUCAGAAAUCGAAGAGGCGCCCUGCUCAGAAAUCGAAGAGGGCGUUUGCUUUCUCAAAAGCUGGGCUGCUUAGAGAUCACGAGGGUUUGAUCUCAGAAAUCGAAGAGGCGUUUGCUUUCUCAAAAGUUGGGCUGCUCAAAGACCUCGAAGGCUGAUCUCAGAAAUCGAAGAGGCGCUCGCUUUCUCAAAAGCUGGGCUCCCCAAAGACCACGAGGGCCGAUCUCAGAAAUCGAAGAGGCACCUACUUUUCCAGCCUUGUCAGCACCUGUCACACGCACACUCAGCUUUGCGAAAAUUAUGGGCAUUCUGUCGAAGACUUCUGGGGAAGUAGAAAACACAUGAAUCUUACUGUUCAAUCACCCACUUCCCACACGCAACAAUAGCUCAUGGGUACCACAGAUAACUUUGCCAAAGUUCUCUGCCAAAGUUCUCUGCCAAAGUUGAGCACGUGAAGCUUGCAGCUCCUACUACAUCGCUCUGACCAAGAAGGGUAAAAGAAUAGCAAAGAAACAGCACUAACAAAGUUUAGACCCAUAAAUUUUGAAGGUCUAGCUACCAUAUUAUUACCCAUAAGGGUAAAGGAACAAUACCACUGCUGGAUAAUUGGAAAGUCCUUGUGUGUCAACGUCUGUGCUUCGUGGCAAGGUAGACUAGCAAACAUGCCCAACCUUUACUCACAUUCGAGAAAACACUCCCAAUAAGAUUGCUUGCUCCAAAAUCGAAGAGGCACCGUCCUCCGAAUCUCGAGAGCCAGACUCUCAACAUGACUACUUUCUUAAAAAUCGAAGAGAGGGUAAAGGAACAGUACCAUUGCUGGAUAAUUGGAAAGUCCCUGUGUGUCAACCUCUGUGUGCUUCAUGGCAAGGUAGACUAGCAAACAUGCCCCAACCUUUACUCACAUUCGAGAAAACACUCCCAACAAGAUUGCUUGCUCCAAAAUCGAAGAGGCACCGCCCUCCGAAUCUCGAGAGCCAGACUCCCAACAUGAUUACUUUCUCAAAAAUCGAAGAGACACUGCUCCCCGAAUCUUCGAGAGCCAGACCCCCAGCAUGAUUGCUUUCUCAAAAAUCGAUGAGGCAUCGUUCUCCGAAUCAAUCGAAGAGGCGCUCGCUUUCUCAAAAGCUGGGCUGCUCAGAGACCACGAGGGUCCGAUCUCAGAAAUCGGAAGAGGCACCUACUUUUCUAGCCUUGUCAGCACCUGUCACACGCACACUCAGCUUUGCAGAAAUUAUGGGCAUUCUGUCGAAGACUUCUGGUGAAGUAGAAAGCACAUGAAUCUUACUGUUCAAUCACCCACUUCCCACACGCAACAAUAGCUCAUGGGUACCACAGAUAACUUUGCCAAAGUUCUCUGCCAAAGUUGAGCACGUGAAGCUUGCAGCUCCCACUACAUCGCUCUGACCAAGAAAGGUAAAAGAAUAGCAAAGAAACAACACUAACAAAGUUUAGACACAUAAAUUUUGAAGUUCUAGCUACCAUAUUAUUACCCACAAGGGUAAAGGAACAAUACCACUGCUGGAUAAUUGGAAAGUCCUUGUUUGUCAACCUCUGUGCUUCGUGGCAAGGUAGAGACUAGCAAACAUGCCCAACCUUUACUCACAUUCGAGAAAACACUCCCAACAAGAUUGCUUGCUCCAAAAUCGAAGAGACACCGUCCUUCGAACCUCGAGAGCCAGACUCCCAACAUGACUACUUUCUCAAAAUCGAAGAGAGGGUAAAGGAACAGUACCAUUGCUGGAUAAUUGGAAAGUCCCUGUGUGUGUCAACCUUUGUGCUUCGUGGCAAGGUAGACUAACAAACAUGCCCAACCUUUACUCACAUUCGAGACAACACUCCCAACAAGAUUGCUUGCUCCAAAAUCGAAGAGGCACCGCCCUCCGAAUCUCGAGAGCCAGACUCCCAACAUGAUUACUUUCUCAAAAAUCGAAGAGACACUGCUCUCCGAAUCUCGAGAGCCAGACCCCCAGCAUGAUUGCUUUCUCAAAAAUCGAAGAGGCAUCGUUCUCCGAAUCUCGAGAGCCAGAUACCACAGACCACUUUUUCAAAGUGCUCUGACAGAGUUAAAACAUGUGAAACUGGCAGCUCCCACUACCGUGCUAUGACCAAGCAGGGUAAAGGAAUAGCAUUACUACUUGUUAGGGAGACUCCUAUAUAUGUCGACCUCCAUCCCCAACAGACAUGCAGACCUGCAAAAAUGCUCAACCCUUCAUCAUAUCUGAGAGGGCACUCCCAACGAAGCCUUUCGAAAUAUUCAGCUUUCUUUCCCCCCGAUAAUACCUCUGCAAACAAGCUAUACUAGAGCAAGAAUAUCUCAUAUCAUCAGGGUUAAAAGCAAGAGUAUCCCAUAUCAUGCUUUUUCCCUGUCUUUUCCUUUGGCCUUGUUUUUACCUGCAAGACAAGGAGAAAGAGAGCAAUCAGUCAGCACUUGGAAUCAAGCUUCCAGCCAGGAACUGACUGCCUGGAACCCCUUACCUGAUUACUUACCUGGCAUUGCUCUCGAGUACUCAUCUUCAACAUCUUAUGUUUCCAGGGAAGAUUCCGCAUCUGCUUGAGGAACAGAUAGGGCAAGUGCGAAGGAUACAAGGAAGCAUGUGGAGACAAGCGUAACAGCACACGUGCCGAUACAUCCAUUACUCUGUCAAAAGCAAAAGUAUCCCAUAUCAGCAGGGUGGAACGUACUCUAGAUUUGAUGGACUUGUUUUGACCCUCAAAUUCUUCAGUCGGCCUUAUACUCUGGAGGAAACCAGAAAACCCUCCAGCUCAGUUCAAGAAUAAGCCUGUGGAAAGUUACUUCUUCAAAAGCAAAAGUAUCUCAUAUCAUCUCUUCUCAUUUUUCUUCUCUUUAUCCUUCAUGCUGCUGCAAGAUGGGGAGAAGGUGAACAAUCAGUCGGAGCUCUGAUUGCUUACCUUGUCUGUCACCUCUUUCAGCAGACCCCCUAGCUCGGCGACUUGGGGGACUCUUACUACAUGGUUUGUAUCGCGCUUGACCAAGCCUGAAACUACAAGUAAGCUUCAAGUGAAAUUGAUACAUUACCUUGUGCAUCUCCACCAGUUAAAGAUACCACCCCUGGAUGGAGGAAGAGUACUUCCAGAGAAGAUGUCACAUCUACCUAUGAGACAGAUAAGGCAAGUCAAGACGACACCACACUCCGAUACUUAGAAGUUUCGUGAUUACGAGAUCAUUCUCCCACAAUAUUUCCUAAUGUCAUUUGUACUAAAUCAUUCACUUGUACUCACUAAAGGAGAGCUUGAACCUAUGUACUUGUGUAAACCCUUCACAAUUAAUGAGAACUCUUCUAUUCCGUGGACGUAGCCAAUCUGGGUGGGUGAACCACGUACAUCUUGUGUUUGCUUUCCUAUCUCUAUCCAUUUAUAUACUUAUCCACACUAAUGACCGGAGCAAUCUAGCGAAGAUCACAAAAAGCGACCGUUUUCGCUACCUAGGAUCUAUCUUGCAAGAGAACGGAGAAUUAGAGAUGGAGAUCUCAACCAUAGAAUACGAGAUGGAUGGAUGAAGUGUAAGAAUGCAUCCGGCGUGUUGUGUGUGACCGUCGUAGGCCACUGAAGCUCAAGGGAAAAUUUUAUAGGAUGGCAAUAAGGCCAGCGAUGUUGUAUGACACAGAAUGUUGGGCGGUGAAGCAUCAACACGUACACAAAAUGGGUGUAGCGGAGAUGAGGAUGCUUCGUGGGAUGUGUGGGCACACGAGAAAGGAUAAGAUUGGGAAUGAGGAUAUCCGAGGUAAAAGUAGGAGUAGCCGAAAUUGUAGGAAAGAUGAGAGAAAAUCGGCUCCGGUGAUUUGGACAUGUGCAAAGAAGGCCGAAUGACGCUCCGGUUCGAAGAUGUGACUACGGGACAGAGGUUCAGGGCCGAAAGGGUAGAGGAAGACCUAGGAAAACUUUGGAAGAGACUCUAAGAAAAGACUUAGAGUACUUGGAUCUAACGGAGGACAUGACACAAAACCGAGCGCAAUGGCGUUCUAGGAUUCAUAUAGCCGACCCCACUUAGUGGGAAAAGGCUUUGUUGUUGUUGUUGUUGUUGUUGUUGUUAUAUCUAAAGUUCAACGUUCUUUCUUUAUGAUCAACUAUUGCAGUGUUAUUUUACCCUGUACGUAUGAGUGUUAUCCAUUUUGAUUGGAUUUCGAUGAUGGUCAUUCUCAGAAGGCUCAUAACCUAUAAAAAUUUCUGAUUGCUUCGUUUCUAGAUGACUAAGUAUAUACCACUGGUCCACCGUACAGAUUUAUUAUAUUUCAAGAAACAUAAAUGAAUUGGAUGAAAAAUAAAAGAAUUUGAUAAUAAAUCUGGGGGUGGUUUUGAGAGAAAAUCUUCGCCCCAGAUUACAGCCUACAAGACUUAAUGUCGAUUAAACCUUCGAUUCUUGAAAAGCAUGGAUUCAUCUCCUGAAUUAAUUUUGGAACUUUGUUUAACUGUAUCUCCAGGUCCGUCAUCUUGAACUCAAAAAAGAAAAGGAAGUUGACAGAGAAGAUCUUGUCAGGUUUCUGCUGGAUGCAAUGGCGAUACAAUUUAGAAAUCCUUCCAUUUGGACUUAGGCGUGUCAUCAAAAGCACAACUUUUUCUGGUAUGUGAAUCAAGGUGCCGAAGUACCUGCAUAAUUUCUGCAUAUAAGAUUGCUUGUGAAAAUAGUCCCAACAAUAGCAGCUUUGUUAGGAGCCCUCAUAUGGUGUGUACACUGAUUAUCCAGCCCAUGUCCUGUUUCCACAUUUUGUUCAGCUUUCCUUCAAACCUGUUGAAUUCGGGGGUGGUUAUGCGGUUGAGUUUAGUUUUCUUUUCUUGUGGGAAGAUUGUUUAGGGUUCGUCACUUUGUAUCUGAAUUCGCAAAUUUGUACAUAUUUACGAGCCAACUUGUCUAAUGAGACAGAAAAUAGCAAUAGCAAUGCUUUGUCAUGUGAAACAGUAUGUCAUAUUUCUUUUAAUGAAGAAAAUUUUUGGAAAUUCUUAAAGCUAACGGAAGACUUGGCCCAAAACCAAGGACAGUAACAUUCUGAGAUUUAUACAGCUGAUCCCACUAACCACUUAGUGGGAUAAGAUUUUGUUGUUGUAAGAGAAAUUUUGGGAAUCAAAACUUCCCAUCGUCUCUAAUUGUCCUCAUUUGGUUGACAACGACAGCCAUAGGCGCAUCCGCUUUCCGGGCGACAUUGCAGAGCAAGAAAUUCCUUUCUGCAUUACUGAAACCAAACAUUCCUCAAAUCUUGUUGCAUGGAGUGGAGCACGGUCACAAUAUCAUGACAUGGUCAGGCAACACUGUAGCUGCAAAUUUAUGAAUGCUUAGACCAUCGUUGAACGUGUCGUCUGUAGGUCUUUUUUCCAAUGAAAAGCUCUAGCAACAAUAUCUCCUACUUGUAUGUUGGAGCGAGAUUUCCUACGAGAAGAAAUACCUCCACAGAUUUGUUGACCGCAAUUCUCAUGUUCGCCGAAUCCUUCUUUGAAGUAUCCCAAAAUAAUCUUCCUCCACAACUUGCCCGGGCGGGUACCUAUGAAAGAUACUUCGACGCUCAAGUCAGUCGAUUGGUUUAUAUUCUUUGGAUUUUCUUAGGUUCUCCUCACAUACCUUGUUCUUUGGCUCCUCUCCCUAUUUAUAGGAUUGCAUGCUUGAGGAUCAAGCACCACGACCAGACCUCCUUUCGCACUUCCUUAGUGGUCAUGUCAUAUGACUGCAUGCUUUAGGAACAAGUGCCAUUACCUGUCGCCCUUUCCCACUUCUCCUCUGUAGUGGGGUAGUUAUCUAGGCACGUUCCCUUGCGUCCGUAUAUUUCUAGUGGGCUUUUUACCGUGCACAACACUUUCUCCUUGGAUGAUUGGUAUUGGUCCAUGAGUUGAAACCGGAUUUUAUCCUCCCAUAGUGGCCCCUUUUUCCCCUUUUUACGCAUGUGAAUUAGAGGAAAACUGAGUUUUUCGAUCUCUUGGGGCCUUGAAACUACUCUUUAAGCCAAGCUAAACUUGAAGCACUUUUUACUAAGGCCAAAUUUGUGGAAGUUGCUUUUUCUAAGAGUAAAUGUAAAUUUAUCGAAGCCUUCGUUUUGUUUGCUUGACAUUCAGAUGCUCAACUAGCUUUUUCGCCUUGUCAUAUCUUCGCAUAAUUUACGAGCGUCAAUAGACAUCUCCUCAAAAUUUACGAAUAAGGGCUGACAUCUUCCCACUAUGAUUUUCGAACGAGGAUAUACGAACGAGGACUGACACAUUGCGAAAGUGGACUGACAUGAUUUACGAACGAGGAUUUAUGAACGAGGACUGACAUCUUAUGAACGUUGAUUGACAAAAUUUGACUAAGUAGGUUGUCUGACAGGCUAUACAAAUAUGUACUUAUUAUAUAAACCACUAUCCCAUCUUGUUGAACUGACGAACGCAGUAGCUGCAGCACAGAAGCCUAAAAGCGUCCCCCUCGCCGAACAUGCCUAGUCUGCACACCCAUAUGCUUUUAUACAGAUACACACACGUAUAUAUACAUAUAUAUAUAUUGACACUGACACCGACACUAACUUGCUUUUCUAUAUAUAUAUAUAUACAUGCAUUCCGAACCUGACUUGCUUUUCUAUAUAUAUAUAUAUAUAUAUAUAUAUUUAUAUGCAUUCCGACCCUGACUUAUUAUAUAAAUAUGCACACACACACACAUAUACAUAUGCACACUUUUGCAGACAUCACAUCCUUGCUAGACUUGCACAUCGGGCUAUCUAUCUAACCACACACACACACACAUAUAAAUAUAGGGGUGUGCUAUCCACACACCCCUUUUUACUUCUCACACACCCCUUAUUAAUUUUUGUCUGUUGAUUUUUUUCAAUUCAUCUGAUCCGACGGUCGAAAACUAAAAAGGUGUGGGAAAAGUAAAAGGGGGUGUGUGGAUAUCACACCCCAUAAAUAUAUAUAUGUCUAGGCACAUAGGCAUAUAUACGCACACCUACGCGCAACAUCUACGUGCAUAUCUCUGCGUACUUACAUGCAAAUCUCUGUACGUACUUUUCAUAUAUUUGUAUAUAUCUCUAUGCUCACAUGCAUAUAUAUAUAUAUAUAUGUGUGUGUGUGUGUGUGUGUGUGUGUGUCAUUACCUUGGGUUUCUCCAUCCCACUUUGCUUCACUUCCUCUGCUCAAUUUCUCCACCAUGCCUGUGAUUUCUCAAGUGGCCUCUUGGCUUACAGGUAACUCUUUAUUUCAAACCCCACUUGUGGGAAUACUCCACAAAUUCCUCUUUUAAAUAAAAGAUAUUCCUUUUUAUGAUAGGAGAACAAUGUCCCAUUGCUUGAGCUUUUACUUUUGCACACGUAAUGCCUCAUCUUCUUUGCAAACACACAAUGUGUUCAAGGAGGAAAAUCCGAUUAAAUUCGCCCUUUAAUUAUUGAUCUCAAAACUGUUCAACCUUGAAUUUCCUCUUAAUCAAUUUUUUUUUACCUAUUCGAUCUUGGAUUUUCGAUCUUGGUUAGGUCUUUGCCCAUUCGAUCUUGGGUUUUCUUUUCCUACUCGAUCUUAGAUUCUCGAUCCUGAUUGGGUCUCUGCCCAUCGAUCUUGGGUUUUCUUUUCCCACACGAUCUUAGAUUUCCGAUCUUGAUUGGGUCUCUGCCCAUCUGAUCUUGGGUUUUCUUCUCCCAUAGGAUCUUAGAUUUCCGAUCUUAAUUGGGUCUCUGCCUUUUCGAUCUUGGGUUUUCUUUUCCAACUCGAUCUUAUGUUUUCGAUCUUCAUCUCUUGGUUUCUACUAUUCAGCUUUAGACUUUAGUCUAAGAUUCGAAUGAAGUGUAACUUUAUUUAUCAUACAAUAAGGAGAUGUCAACAGACAUCCAAGGAUACACCAUUUGACAUGCAAGGAAGACAAGAAGGGAUUUACCCUUCAACAUUGCUGGAAACAAAAAUUCAAAUACGGAAAACAUAAACACGAAAAGUUAAUUAUGGUACUUUCUCAAAUGAAUUGUGUUCCAUGGGCGCGACACGUACUGACCUUUUUCAACAUGCUUGAGUUUAUAAGCUCCAUUUCCGAAGGCUUCGAUAAUCAUUGGUGGCAUGACCAAAGUCGUUGUGAUGAGCACACAUCUUGUUCUUGUCUCACUUUUCUAGCGGCAUUUGAAUUGGUGCUGGCGCACGAAAGAUUCAUUUUCCCUUGUUCUCGUGGAAAAUUUUGCCCAGGCUCACUGUCAGCUUGGUGUUUAGGCGAUCAAGUCUAGAUCUUUCAUUAAACCCAUCAUUUGGAUCACGUGUGAAUCUUCUUUCCUGCCUCGGUUUGUUAGGAAUUUGGCUCGUCAAAUAUGUCCUAGUUGGUUUAUGAUUGUUUUAGGAGACCUAAAGGUAUACCGAUUCUUGUCCUAGAGGGAUUAGGAAAGAAUUUCAGUUUCCUUAUUCAAUUUAGGUUUGGAUUUCUAGAAGUCUAUUUGGAUUUGGAUAAGUGUAAUUUCCUAAUCCACUUAGAAAUAGGAAUUCAAUCAGCUUUGGGACAUGUAAGCCAACCCUAUGUCUAUAAAUAGGGUGCGGCAAGGCUGAUUUUUUAAGAGAGAAAGAAAACAGCUAGACAGCCAAGAGUUUUGAGAUUAGUUCUAGGGUUUGCAAAAGUUCUGUAAUCUCUAUUAUUAAUUAAAGGAACGGUGAUUUCUUUACCUAGAGAAAUCACAACUGGACGUAGGCAUAAGUUUUGCCGAACCAGUAUAAUUCUUGUGUGUUUCUAAGUUUUCUAAUAUUUGCUAGUUUAGUCUAUUGUCGUUGGUUGUAUUAAAGAACAAGGUCUAGUGUGCAGGUUUUUCAACACAGUUGAGCCGUGCGUUUCAAGAUUUUGAUGCCUUAUACUUCUUAAAGCUUUGCAUUCAACAAAUAAACUCUCAAACGUUCCUUGUUGAUGAAGGUUUAAUACCUUAACAGCAACUAUCGUCCUAUCGCUAGGGAGUUCCCCUUUGUAAACAAAACCAAAACUUCCCAAACCAAUCAAAUUGUCCAUAGAGAACCCAUUCGUUGAUUCGAGAAGUUCAUGAUAAGACACACUGGAUUUCCAAUUUUUAUAAGAAUGUGCUGUUAGAGGUCUACCUCUUUGUGAAUAUAUAGUUUACAUACCUAAUUUUCACUCAAAUGAUAAUUUAAGAACUAAAUCGACAAUUCACUUGAAAUAAAAUUAAUUGUUCAUUGGGUACAACGGUUGCGUUUCUGAGGUUGGACAGAGAGGAACAAGUCCAAAUGCCUAGGACCGCGAUUGGAUUGGGCCGACUAAGAUUUUGCGUGUGUUAUUUACACUAUGAUUUACUUUACCCAGACUCUGGUUAAACAUCAUGCUCAGCAAUUUGAAUCCAAUAUCCAUCACAGUAACACAUGUUUGAGUGUUUCGCCAUCCUUUUUCAUUCCUCUUUUUCCUCGUAUAUUUUGUUGAAAUCAAAUAACUAAAACCAAAAACGAAAUGAUUAUCUAAUUAAUAGUUCGCGGAUAGACCCAAAAUGAUAUGUAAAAUAACGGAUAAUUAACGGGGUCUAUUUGUUAACGACUAGACCCGUCAAACAUCCACCCAAAUGUUGAUUUUAACUGGUUGGGGAGCUAAUUAUGCCUUGUGUUAUAGUUAAUUAGUGCAAAUUACCCUAAACCCUAAACCCAAUCAGUCAAUUAAGUUAAUUAAUUUUGUGAAUUGAAGGGAAUUUUGCAUGACUUGGAAUAUUUGGAUGAACGCAAUAAAACUGCAAGGACAAAAAUGAAACCAAAAGAAAGAAAAAAAAAACCUUCAUGGGCAAAAGUGAAAUCGAUGCAAUUUUUGAAGAAUAUAAUAACAAGGACAGCCACCACAUACUGUAUUUCUAUCUACACUUUUCUCACUUCAUAGUCAGAAUCGUUCAAUAUUUUAAACAGUAUCUCAAAUCGAUCAAACAUAAAGUACCAGACAUUACCAAUCGCAAAACCUCCCUUGCCGGCUGUGCUUCUGCUCAUUGAUCCUUCUUCCGGCAAUGCAACACGACGCAAAUCGGUGUCAACAUGGUUGGAUGCAUGUUGAGCAUCUGGUCAGUAAGCCGUUGUCGGCGUUUCGCUGUACGUGUUCUUGUAAAUGUUGCAUAAGCUUUGAAGGAUGCCAUUGGAAUCUUGUUAGGGAUGAACCCAUGGCAGUUGUUAUAGUUCCACUUGGCUUCAACAUCUCAAUUACAAAAUGCGUCGUCAAGUUUUGAUUUUCUGACAUUUCACGAUUAGGUUUUGAAAUAAGUAUCAAUUUAUGUUUAAUUUAAUUUGAAUAUAUGGUUCUUCAUUGUGUUUGAUGACGUGACAAGCACAUUGACUCCUUUAUAAGUUGACGUGGAAGCCACACUUGCAUCACAUAGAUUAAAACGAGUCACAUAAACUAAAAUAUAUUUAAAAAAAAGGUAAAUCGUAGCUAGUAAAAAAUGAAAAACGAAAAAGAGUUGCAAACGUGAUAUUAGCUCAAUCGAUUAAGACCGUUCACCUGACGUACCAAAUUGUUAGAACUGAAUAAACAAAAGAACUGAUUGUCACAGAAUACAAGUGGCAGUCAUAAUACUAAUACUCCCAUUAAUUUUUUUUACAUUUCAUCCUCCAAUAAACUAAAUGCAAACCUGCCAACAUUAAUCAAAUCAAAGAUUUUGAUCAUCUUACUUCCUUCUGCUCGGCCAGUUUUUAAAAAUUAUGCCUCAAGAAUAACUUCUCUUGAGGUGAUGCAGGUCCAAUCUCUUCUUCCAAGCUCCUCAAACCAUCACCACCACUCCCACAGUUGCCCAAAUUUCUACCCUCUGUGGUCUUCCCAUCGGCAUCGGCAUCUGAGGCCGAGGACUUCCUCCUCUGGGAAGAAGCAACACUCGGAAAUGUGAUCCAUGAAGGAGCUCGGAAUUCAAACCUUUGCGCGUCCUCCAGUUCUACCACAUCGGUGUCGACUGACCUGUUUGAAGAUCUUUGUGAGGAUUUUUUGUGCAUUCUACUGCUUCCCAAUACCACCUCGGUUGGCAGAAUAGGUUGCUCGUUACAGGGGCUGCCCAUUAGCAUGGCAAGAGCUCGUUCUAGCGCUGUCGUCACCUUGUCCAUUGAUGGCCUCUCCUUCCCUCUCAUUCUCACACAUUUGCAGGCUACAUUGGCAAUUCUUUUCAAGGCUUCGAGGUCAGGUGGGGGUUUCAAAACUGGAUCCAAAAUUGUACUUAUGUCUCCUGACUUGAUCAGAGGCACUGCCCAUUCAACUAUAUUUCCGUCUUCGUACUGCAUAUCGAUGGCUUUUCUGCCACUAAGAAUCUCCAAAAGUAAAACACCAAAACUGUAAACAUCAGAUUUGGUUGUAAGGUAAUGAAGUCUGUAGUACUCAGGAUCAAGAUACCCUAGAGUUCCGGCUGGUAGCUCCGCCAAUGGGGAGCCACUGUCUGCAGGUCCCAGUAACGACAAACCAAAAUCAGCAACUCGAGCAUUGUGCUCCUCAUCAAUGAGAAUGUUUGAAGACUUAAUGUCUCGAUGAAUCACCGGUGGGCAAGCAUAACCGUGCAAGUAUUCAAUUCCCCGAGCUGCUUGGACUGCAAUAGUGACCCUUCGAACCCAAUCCAAUUGCUCUUUCAAGGCUUUGUUCUUUCCGUGGAGAUGCUGAUGCAAUGAUCCAUGAGCCAUGAACUCGUAAACAAGAAGACUUUGUCCGCCUUCUUCACAAUAUCCGAGCAGAUUGAGUAAAUGUGCGUGGUUUAACCGUGAGAGCAAGUCUAGCUCUGUAUGGAACUCUUUCGAAUUCUUUUGCAUGUUAGGAGACAUUAUAGCCUUUUUGACAGCAACAACUGUCCCAUCUUUUAGAACACCUCUGAAAACACAGGAAAAGCUUCCCUUUCCAACAACAGACUCCUCUCCAAAGCCGGCUGUGGCCCUUUCAAGCUCCUCAUACGUGAACAUCUGAGCUCUCCUUAUCUUCAGGUCAUCCAACUCGGGACGAAUCUUACCAUUGUCCUUCUGGAAAGAUGCAUCCUGACCAUUCUUUUUCGAAUUCAAAUCUUUUCCUGUGCACUGACAGUUGCGUAAUCUGUAGCGAACAUAUAAAAUUGCAGUUAUAGACACAACACUCACCAAGAACAGAGCAAAAGCAACCUCCGCAAUAAUGAUAGGCAAUUGCAUGGACCAAAACCUUUCAUUCUUCUUGCCAUAUGAAGAUGAACAAUUUGAGAAACAUUCAGCAGAGUAACAGAUAGAACAGUUAUAUUCACACUGUCUAUCAGAUUUCAAAGUACAUUCGGUUUUUUGGUACAUUUCAUCUGGACAAUCAUUGCUGCACGGCAUGCAAAUAUGAGAGUUAGGUAACUUGCAAGAGGCACUCUCAUUACUGAGCUCAUAGAAACCAGGAGCGCACGGAGUGGACUUGCAGAAUCCAGGUGCCACAGGUAAUGGAAGAGAAGUUGGGAAUCCAUGUCCCCAGCAAACCGGUAAGAAUGAUUUGUCAGCAAGAAUUCCACAAGUGAAGUAAUUUCCAGCAGCAAUCUCAUAAACCUUGGUACCAUUAGGAGCAGGUGUACUUUGUUUCACAAUAAACCCCCAACAAAUCACCUCACGGUCAUAGCUCUUAAUUCCGCAAGCAUGGAACUUCCCUCCAACAACUGAAAGCAUUGGGUCAUUUGGAGCCAUAUCAACAUUGCCCUGACCUGAAUAUGCCACUGAAAUUUCUUCUUCCAUGACCAAGCUUCUUCCCCAACAAACGGUUCUGGAAUUCACGGGCUCCAGAAUCCCACAAACAUGAUACCCACCAGCUGAAAUCUUCCGAAACCUCAUAUCUUUGGGGAUCAAGCUGAUAACCCUGCUACUAGUCUCAUCACCCCAGCAAAAGACAGUUCUGUUCUGGGAAAACAAUCCACAAUUGAAUUCUGAGCCAGCUGAAAUCGACUGAAUCUGCCCAUCAAACACAUAGUUUUUGGUCAUGUUAUAUCCCCAACAAUCAACAAAAGAGGUGUUUCUGAGCCUGCCAGUUAAAGGUUUUCGUAAUCCACACAUAUGAUAAUCACCAGCACUGAUUUCUAAAUAUUGAGCUUCUUUAACAAUGGGUUGAGGGACACCCAUUUGGAUAUAACCGCUGCUUCCCCAACAAUAUGGCUGGUUGGAAUCCAUGAGAAGUCCACAAACAAAUCCAUCACCAGCAGUUAAACCGAUAAAUGGGAAUCGAUUAGGAGCCCCGUAUGUAAUUGCUGAGUUUGAUCCAUAGCAGGUCACAAGAUGAGACCCAUCUAAUUUUAACCCACAGAAAACUGAACCUUUCUCUCCAUAAGAAACUGCAAUGGCUGACAUGGAACCUAGUCCUGAAGCUAAACACCAUAAAUCUGAUAAAACUACAAGUUCAGCAAGAAAUCCAGCUCUCAGUAUGCUGAUAUUAAGAACCCAGAUCAGGAAAUCAUUUACUGAAAACCCCAUUAUAACAAGCCACUGUAAAGCUACUCAAAGAUAAAGUUUCACCCACCAACUAAAGUUGCUGACUUUUAUUUCCUUCCAAUUGAAGGACAAAGUCUAGUAUCCAAUGCAGUAAUUUACAAGGAAAAUCUGUGUUUCUGGUGUUUUUCUAAAGAAAUGCAACCACAUUAUACUCCCCUUUUCUCCAUAACGAAAAAUGAAGAAAAAGGCGAAAAAUUAAACUAAGUGGCCAUGAAUUGAUGAACAGAAAAAGAGGAGAAUGUGUGACAAACCCACGUACCAGAAGCAACAGAUCAGCAAAAACCAAGCAGGACCCAAAUCAGAAAAUCCCCUUCUGAAGCAGACAACUUUUGCAAAAAGAUUAAUAAAGGUAACAACUUUAGAGAAGCCCACACCUCCAAGUUAUCUGUUGCUGAAAACUCAUGUGAGAAAACCUCAUGUUUUUUCACUUUUCUGGUGCUGAAAACAAAAGUUCCAAACUUGAAUGGGCUUUCUGCAACUUUGAUUCCAGGAAGCAAAGAAAACAAAUCACCUUUUAAAAUCCCAUGUACUUAUUUAUUUGCUUUCAGGUUCAUCUGCAAGCUCAAGAAUGGGAAGAGUAAUCUGGCACUUCUCUGUCCAUGAAAUUUUGCUUUGAAUGAGUGUUGGGUGGUAAGGUGAAUUUCAUGAAUGGAAAUUAAAGAAAGAUGGAUUGUUGCAUGUGGUUUCAGGGUAUUGUUGUUGCAGACCAGAAUCUAGAGAGAGAGAGAGAGAGAGAGAGAGAGAGGGCAUUUAAUACCAUGAAACUGCAGCUUCUGAAUAUGGCCUUAGGUGCAGGUGAAGACAAUAAAUGAGAAGUUAAUGCAAUUUCAUUUUUUCAUGCCUGCAUUGAAGCACACUUGGCUACCCUUCUGAUUUUUUAUUUUUACUUUGGUGAAGAUGCAUCCAAAUUUUUUUCCAAUUUAAAUCUUGUUUCCCCUACUUGAUCAGAUCAAAAUGCAUCGCACUUUCUCAUGGUUUUUAAUGUUUUUGUUUGCUUUUGCAUGCAUGACGUCCAUAUUUUGAAUAUUUUGAAUAAGAUUUACGUGUUUUUUUUAUGUGAACAAAUUUCAUUUCUUUGCAUUUUUAUUGGUUUUUUACCCCUUAAAAAUAAGGUUUCACCUUGCUAUAUUCUCAUUUAUUUUUAUUUUGAAUAAACGAUAUUAUUUACAUUAAAAAGAAAGAGAGUAUGUUUAGUCUUAUAAUGAGUUGUUUUAUUCGUUUUUGGGUCAUGUUAGACAUAAUUUGCAUUCUUAACCAGAGUUGAUAAAAACGAGAUAUUUUACAUCAACCGGUGAAAAAAUCCCAACACAAACAAAAAGAUUAAAUAAAAUGCAUUUUAAUUAACAAAUACUUCAUUACUUCAUUUGCAAAGUAUUUAAUUAGAAUGUUGACUUUGUUGUUAAAAUAAUAUUUGAGAGAGAGAACAGAGAGAGGGACAGCUAGAGAGGAUGAAAGAAGGGGCUUAAGUGUUUUUGAAAUUGUUAUUUCUCUUUGCUUUUGUGCCUUUAUUUUUACUAAUGAGGGUAGAUUUUACUUCCUCUAAGUAAUACAAAUUAUAAAAAAAAAAAUUAUAUUUUAGAUCAUAUAAGAUUCUUAUUCCUAGUUUACACAAUCAUACUAAACAUAAAAAACUAUUUACAACACAAAUUAUAUAUACAUAUAUAGUCAAACAACUUUAAACAAAUAAAAUAUAAUAUAACAACUUAACAUAUCACUAACGUUAGCCCACCCUUAUCAACACAACUCGUUAAGCCUUAACUCAAACAAUGACUUUUUGUGCAUGUUCCAGUCAUGUCAUGGGUCGCCACUUAAUACUAUUAAAGAUGAAUUUGAACCAUAUUAUUGCUAAUUUAUUGUGCUCCUCCCAUUAAUGUAGAUAAUAUCGUUUGCUCAAGAAAAAAAAGUUUAUGUUAUGAAUCAUGCACAAUUAUAUAUACAUAUAGUCAAAUAGCUUAAACCAAACAAAAUAUAAUAUAGCAAUUUAACAUAUCACCAAUGAGCCCACCCUUAUCAACACAACUUGUUAAGCCUCAACUCGAACAAUGAAUUUUUCGUGCAUGUUCGAAGUCAUGUUAUGGGUCAUGCACAAUUUUGCUAGGUCUAGUCUCACGACUCAUCAACCAAUAUGUCCCAAAGUUUCUCCACAAAAAGUGUAUGGCAAGGUAAGUUAUUAAGAGGCGUUUUGAUAUAUUCGUCUUGUUUUUAAACUUGUUAGACCAAACAUAUAUAUAUUUGUCUUUUAACGAUUUAAUUAUACAUCCUUCUACGGUUUUGGAGUCACUCUUAAUUAAGCCAUUUUAUUGUACCUAAAUUACAAGACCUAUCAUAAUUUACAUAAAAAAUAGGAUUUGGAUUCCAUCCGGAACCAAGUUGUGGGGAUUCUAGGGGCCCUCACAUCCUAACCGUUUAUUGUAUAUCAUGCAGUCAUAAAUCAUUUUAAAUUUAUUUAUUUAAAAUUAAACACAAAUAGUAUCAAACGAAAACUGACUGCAUGAUAUACAAUAAACAGUCAUGAUGUGAGGAUCCCUAAGAUCCCCACAAAGAAGAUCCGGAGAGGAUCCCCAUCCAAAAAAAUAAACAAGGAAAAAAUGAAAGAAAAAUGGUUCCUACAUUCUUGCUAACUAAUGCCUCUUAGUUUGACGUUCAGCUCGUAGAGCCAAAGCUAGGGAUGCGUGGCACCUCGAUUUCACAUAAAUAAAAGCUCUUCGGAGCCGGUGAUGCUUGAUAAAAAGUCUCAUCUCUCCCCUUUGAGAAACCAUGGGACUAUGUGAUCUUGACACCGUCAACGUUGCUAUUGAAGUUCCAAGUAAUUCUUUUUAUGUUCACAUAUUGUAGGUUUGUUAAUUUUUCUUUUAGCUUCACAUUCCGCCGAUAGCUACUCAUAUCGAUUAUCACAGUUGAAAAAUUCUUGGAUUAGUUUCAUGUAUAUUUUAGUUUUUUUGAUUGGGUAAAUUUGGCCUCGAUAAGUAGUUUGCUUGAAAUUUGAUCUUUUUACAUGAAGCGGAUUUAUUGUCAUGGAACGUCCUUUAUCUAAUAAUACAUUGUCAUGUGUAAGUUUUUCACCACAUUGCAAUAUAUUAUUUGAUCGGGACGCCACGCAACGGUGAGUCCAUUUCAUGGUAGUUGUCCUCCAAAACAAGAUACCCCUUUUUUUUGAUAAACCUCGUAGGCUCAAGCAUGGUCAACUACCAACAUCACCGAUGUGUCUCAACUUAACCACCUAUUACAAGGUGUUGGGUUUUAUCACAAAAAGUCUCGGUGAUGUUAAGGGUGGAAACUCUCAUAGAUUAAUUGUAUAUUAUUUUGUCAUAUGACCGAUGUGAGAUCCUAUUCUCCAACGUCCCCUCAUGAGUGCCCCCAUAUGAGGUCACAAGAGAAACCAAUUCCCACCUGGGGAACCGAUCAAGUCAUUAUACCGGAACUAACAACAAUCAUUUCGACAUCCCGAUUGGUUGGUAUUCAGUCUCUGAGCCAAUGCCAAUCUUUUCGAAGGCCCAAUCAUUCAAUUGCCUUAAGUUGGAACUAGCGCAUCCUAUCAACUUUAGGAAGCAUGUUCAAGCCCCGUAACUUAGGCCUAGGACGUGUCAAGAGAAUAGUUUGCUAUGAUACUAUGAUAAACUUUAUAGGCUCAUGCACUUCCACCACCAAUAUUGUUCCAACUUAACUACUUAUUAUUAGGUGUUGGGUUUAUCACAAAAGAUCACGGUGAUACUAAGGGUGAAAACUCACAUAUAUUAAUUUAUAUAUUUUAUCACAUGACCAAUGUAAGGAUCCUAUUCUCUAACACUUUUUUUCGGUGACUCCGAUGAAUCCAAUCAUGCUCUCAUCUGUCUCUCUCUUGUAUCUUUAAGAACUUGGAUCAAAUCAAUCAAGAAACCGAGACGGUUGUGAAUUGGUGUUGAUGGAAGAAUUGUGCGGAGCCAUGUUCGAUGCCGACCAUUUGAAGGACACUAUUCGCAGCAGUUCAGUGGGAGAAAACCUAGUGCUUCAUUCAAACUAAAGGAUAUGAACAAUUUCUAGCGCUGGGAAAAUCUGAAAACUAACUGCAGAAUUAAGAAUUUUGCAAUCUUUGCAUUAGUAGAUCAUUCGUAGGGUUCAACUCCAACUCUUUUUAAACUUCUAGAGUGCUUCUGUAAUUACCAAGGAUUAGGCUAAUGCUUACCGAAUUAAUUUUCAUGUCAACUUAUUUCCCAACCAAUACAAUUAACACUGUAGUGUUACUUUAACUUCUACGUUACAGUUAUUGUUUUUAGUGCUCAUUUGAAAGUGUUUUUAAAAUAACUGAAGGUACUCUUAAAAAAAAUGUUUUUGAGUUUCAAAAGCACUAAAAAUGCUUCAUGCAAUAAGCACCAGUUAUGUGCUCUGUUGCUUCUUGUAUGAUGCACUUUAAAUGCUUUUCCAUGAUUCACUUGCAUUUUAUUAAAAAUAUAUUAGUUAAAAAAACAUUUUUACAGAAAUAGCUUUCAACCAUUUUAAAUGUAGUUCGAAAUGAACUCUUAAUGUAUUUCAGCAUAUUGUGUUUCUCAGUAUUUGAUUUAAUCAAGUUAACUAAAGUGGUGUGAUUAUCAUGGAUGGCUACCAAAGAGCCAACAAACUCAUGGACCAUCCCAUCCCUUAUUGUCUUCCAUCUUCAUUCAUUCCUCCAAACAAAACGGCACUCCACCAACAUCACAAAUGCAAUGACUCCAAUUUCAUACUCUUCUAGUAACGACAUUAAUUAAGUUUUUACAAUCGAUAUCCUUAUUUUAAAUUAUACUACAGAGAAUGAGAAAAUUUGAAUUUAAAAAACAAAAAAGCGAAUAAAAAUGUUAUAUCCAUCAAAGCGAUCCAUCACUUAUGACGGUGAUUUAAGUUGAUAACCUAAAAGUAGUGGGGACCAACCUCAUUUCAACACCUUAAUGGAGAGCCCAUAUUACUGACCUACAAAUUUAUUAAUAAAUAUCUUUGUUCCAUUAAACUUUGCUUUCAUAGAUUGUUGUGAAUGCCAUGCUCAAUGACUUUUAUAUUUCAUCCCAAGAUUUGUAAGCAUAAGUUAGUGAAUAAUUGACAACAUUUCGUCCUGAUUUACAUAUUACGUGUUCCCAAUGCCAAAUUAAACAUAAUUUGACUCGUUUCAUGCUAGAAACUUCUUAUGUUAUCGAAAAUUGUUCCCUCACACGACCACAACAAAGCACAAAACACAAUCGGGUAGCAAAGGGACGACGACUAGGAGCCCGAAUUAUUGAGAAACUUUUCAGUUAUUUUAGGUGGAUAAUCAAGCAUUCGACGUCUAUGUUCAAGGUCUGCAGGAAGAUUAGCUAAUAUUUCAUCCAACUCAGUGACCUCACUUUGUUGUGAACUAUGAGGACUUCUUGGAAUAUUUGAAGGAGGAGAAGGAUUACUUGGAAUAUUUGUAGGAGAAGGACUACCCGAAAUGUUUGAAGAAAGAUUUAAGCAUUGUUUCUUAUAAUAUCAUUCCAUUACGUAACUAUAAAAUGGAAAGAAAAAUAAAAAUUUUAGACUCUUAAUCCUAGAGUAGACUAUCCGAAUAUGCAUAAUAACUAAUCCAACCAACAAUUCAAUUAAUCAAUAGCAAUAAGGAUACAAAUUAUUCAAUAAAUAAAUAUUCAAACAUAUGAAUAAUUGUAUACAUUAUGUAAUAAUUCAAUUAAUUAAUCAAUAAUCAAGAAUUCAAAUUUUAAUUUUCACCCUAAAAAAUAAUUUCAUAUCAAUAAUCAAUAAUCAAUAACCAAUAACCAAUAACCAUAUGGGUGUGCUAUCUACACACCCAUUUUUACUUCUCACAUACCCUUGUUAAUUUCUGUCCGUUGAUCUUCUUUAAUUCAUCCAAUUCGACGGUAGAAAACUAAAAAGGUGUGGGAGAAGUAAAAAAGGGUGUGUGGAUAUCACACCCCUAACUAUAUUAGUGCAUUACCAUAUGAUUCUAUACUAAUUAAACAAAAUUCAUGUUAAAUAAUUAAUUAUGGUUAGGGAUUAUAAAUUAGGAUAACUAAUAAAAAAUACUUGAAAUUUUUGAGUUUUAACUAUAAGGAUAAAAUAAAGGGUAAAGUGAAUAGUAUCAGAUUUGACAUUUUAAUGUAAAAAUGUGAUUUUUGUUGAAAUAAACAGUAUCGAGAAUUUUUUGUUAAAAUUCUUUUAUAAAUAAAUUUAAGGAUUAAAAAAUUUACUUUUGAAGGCUGAAAACCAACGGCUUAGCGGCUGGAGAGUGGCUGGUGGCGACCGCAAAAAGCCAACGGAAACAAGAAUUAAAAAAUUUUCCGUCUGGGAUUUUGGGGGCAGAGCAGCUUUGCUCUCUGUCUCUGAUUGGAUGGGAUGGGAAAGAUUGAAAAAGAAAAGGGGCACUGACACGGGACUGAAAAAGAAAAGUGAGAGGGAAUGGAUGACACGCGGUCUCUUUAUAUAUAUAUUAUAUAUAUAUAUAUAUAUAUAUAUAUAUAUAUAUUGUUUUCCAAACAUACGCCCGUUUGUUUUAGUUUUUUUAUUUAUUUAUUUUACCAGGACCAAAACGAUGUUGUUUUGGUCUGAAUGUUUUUUUAGAAACAAAGCAAUCUGCUGCUGCGCGCAGCAGAAACAGAGCGAUGGAGGAUUGGCUGAAAGCCUGAACCAGUCUGGUUUUCCGACGAGGGGAGGAGCUGAACUAGAAUUCCAGUCGUUUUUUCCGGCGAGGGGAGUGGCGGCCGCCACUCCUCGCCCUCACAUGGCUUCACCAUUGAGUACAACUCAUUGCACAAAGUAUUAUAACACAAUUGAUUGAAUACAUUUUUUUAAAUUUUUUAACAAACUGUAUUAUUACACUUAAUACAUCAGGCCGUGUUCUAUGCACACUAAACAAUUUCUUCAAAUUAUGGACAGCAAAUCACAUGCAUGUUUAAUCAAAGUUUAUGCAAGUCUCGAUAUAGCAGUGGGCCCUAAAGCAGUAUAUUUGUGAGUUGUGAUUUCUAAUUUGAUUUUCUUUACAAUGAGUUUUGUAAAUAUUAAAUAAGUUUAAAGUUGGAAGGACUUCCAGUUGAACUCUGAGUUUACUGUUACCCAACAUGUGCACUCUUAUUUUUAUUUUAUUUUGAAUACUUUAAAAAUUUUAUUGUACAAAGAAAUGUUAAGACGCACUCUAAUCUUUUAGAGUAAAACUCAAAAUUUAGCUAUCUAAACCAAUCCUAGCUCACUCCAAUUCUUGGGUCAAAAUUGAGUUUUGGACAAAUUCUGGCCAGGAUUUGAGUUUGGGUUAGACCUAGUUUGGGAGUGAGGUGCUUAAAAAAAAAGCACAUAUGAAAAAAAGCUGUGAGGGUUUUAGGUGUUUGGUAAACUGAAAAAAAAGGGCUUAUUUUGGAAGCUGCUGUGAGAAUAAGCUGAAAUCAAAGGAAAAAGCUGAAGCUGCUAUUUGUAGCUUUGGAAAACUGGCUUUUUUUCAAAGCACACGGAGCUACAGUGCUCCUUUAAUGAAAAGACCCACUAUCAGACUACUUUUUUUUCCAAAAGCUUUUUUACAAAAAAGUUUACCAAACGCUCUGCUGAUUUAUUUUACAGCCGCUUAUUCUCACAGCACAGCCGCUUAUUCUCACAGCAGCUUUUUUUUCAAAGCACAGCAAUACCAAACCAGCCCUUAGUGGGUUGGCUCACUCUUGGGUGCGGACAUGCCUAGCAGAGGAGCAUUGCACAUCGCAAGAUGCGCAAAGCGCUGACAGCGUAGGGGUCCCAGACUCCCAUGCACGUGGGUCUGUCGGCCAAAUGAAGUUAACUGCUUAGAGCAUCUCCAAAUGAGAUGUCAAAAUAUCCAAAUCAAUAAUAACGGUAACAAAAGACAUCAUUAAUUUUUCCAACUGAGAAGCCAAAUAUGAUGUGGCAUGACAUAAAAUGACAUCUUUUCCUCUUGUUGUCAAAUUUGACAGCACCUUCAGAUUUUUUAAUUAAUUAUUAAAUGCUUUUUAUUAAUUUUUUUAUUGGUUUAAAGCUUUAUCCUUUAGUUUCUUUUCAUUCCCAAUGCAAAUAAAAUACAUAUGAAUUCAAAAUUUGGCAUAUCGGUUUGAGAGCAAAACUUUAUAGAUGUUAAAGUACCAUGUAAGCCUUCAAAUUUAAAUUAUAGGUUUAAAUUUUGACAUCUCCUUUGGAGAUGGUCUUAUUGUGGUUUCGAUUGGGCAAGUUGUCCAUUUACUCGCUGCUCGACAGAAAACGGUCUUGCUAUCCUCUGUUGAAGUAGAAUAUAAGACUGGCUGGUACUUGUUGUGAGGUAAUUUGGUUACGUUUUCUACUGGAGAAUUGGUGCAUUCCUUUAACUGGACCAUCUUUUUUACUUUGUGAUACUCAAGUGAUAUUGCAUGUAGUGGCCAAUCCUUUUUUCCAUGAGCGAAAUCAUCAUAUUGAAAUGAAUUGUCAUUUUAUAAGUGAUUUUUGAUAGUAUGUUAGCUACUAGACAUGAUGGUACGACACAGCAACUAAUAGACUUGUUUACGAAGCUGCUCGAAAAGGAGAAGUUUCAACCAUGUUACGUACGUUGGGAGUUCUUGACAUCUACUCUCCAACUUGGGGUCCCAUUAGACAAAUAUAGCAAAUUAGUUAGAAUUAAAUUAUAAUUAUAAUUGUAAUUGUACUCAUGGCAGGAAUUCUUGUUGUAUAAUUGUAUAUAUUGUAUUCCAUAUCAAUGAAAAUAUUAUUCAAGCCAAACAUAUUUUUCCACAUUAUUCCUAGCACCCCCUACAUCUUAGAGCAAGUCCACCGGGGUUGGGAUAGGCCGGCACCCAGUGGAAAGUUCCCCCGUUUUUAUGCAUUGACCUAUUACUGUUCAUUGGAGUCUAUUACUGUUCACUGGAGUGGAUAAAUGGGCUGGGUGGUGGCACAAAGUCCUUAGGGAUAGACUUGCUCUUAGGGUCACGUGUGGAUCCUAGAUGAAUCUCGGAAUUGAGGUGUGACAAGUUUGAUGUUCACCUUCUAUAUGUUUUCCAUUCCGGAAAGUUUCUUCAUUAGAUUCCAAAUUAUCAUAACAAAAACUGUUCUUCUCAACUGAACUGUUUAAUCGUGAGCAUCUGCAAGGUAGGACAACGUACAGAAACUGACAGUAGCAUUUUUGAAUUAACAAGAACUUCUAGUUUGAAGAGGGAUUACUCCGGACUAUCCCUCCCAUAUCAUGAUAUUCAAUUAUUCAUAGAGAAAAAGACAUGAACAUAUGGCAGAACAAAGCCAAAUAUGCAGUAAUAAUGGAAGUCCAUUCAAAUUGUUCCUCACUGUCGGAAAAAUUUGCAGUAAACCAGCAGAAGGCAUUGAAGAAAUUACAAAUUCUCCCAAUAUCAAAACAGGUGAACUUAUACGGUGGGCUGGAAAAACACAAAAAUAAAUCAAAUUAGUUUUUGGAUGGUCUUUGAGCUGCGUUGGCCAGGGAUUUCCAUUGCCUAGCUAGAGGUCGAGGGUGAUACUAAGAUCCUUAUUGAUGCGAUCAAUGAGACUAUCUCCCACCCCUGGUAUCUCUUGACACUGGUGUACAAUAUUUAAAAAAUAGCUUGCAGGUAUCUGCAGGAUACCUAUUUUCACCUAUUUUCGUCACUUGUUGUCGUGAAACACAUUUUGUGGCAAAUGCUCUAGCUUGUGUUGGUCAAUCUUCGUUGUUUUUGGUGACCAAAUUUCCUUGUGAGGUGCGUUCCACUUGACUUUUGAGAUUUUUGUAGUUUAGCUUGACCUAGAGGAUUAUCUUUAUAAUUGUUUCUUUCCUGUUAAAAAAGGAGAUUUUAUUUAAAUAUCACUUUUAUUUGAAUCCAUUGAUUUUAUUAUUACAACCAAUAUUACUACUCUAAACUACCUUAAUGGAGGGGACGGGUUCAAACCCGAGUAGGAGAGAAAGUACUUAUCCAUCAAGGCAAUUCUGAACUUUUCAGAUCGAGCAUGGUCCACCACUAACAUUACCAUAUUAUUCCAACUUAAUCACCUAUGCAAGGCCUCUGCGAUACUAGAGGUGGAAACUCCCCAUAUAUUAAUUGUAUAUUAUUGUCAUAUGCCAAAGUAAAGAUAAGACUUCGUACGAUAGAUAUUCCUCCUUCCCUCAACCCUCGCAAAAUGAGGAGUUUUGUUCGCUUGGCCUUUUUAUAUGACCGAUUUGAAAACCUAUCCUCCAACAAAACCACACUUGCGAGUUCACUCGCUAUUAACUUCAAACAAAAUUAAACUAAAACAAAGCAACUGAACCAAACCAAUAACCAAAACAAACAACAGAGAAAAAAAAAAACUAGAGCUAGUCACCAUGUCUUAACUAUCCAAUAAGCGUCUUGAGUGAGGUUUCCGGUGAAUAUUGGCUUCCGUGGCCGAAGAAAGUGAUGGCGAUUCCUCAGGAGACUCUUCAUGAUUUGGACCAGAAGGCACAAGCCUCAUAAGAUCAUAAUUUGCACCUGAAGAUGGUGGUGGCGGUGUAUAUACCUUCGAAGGUGGUUCUUCAGGAGACUCUUCAUGGUUUGGACCAGAAGGCACAAGCCUCAUAAGGUCACAUACUUCGCAGGAUCAUCCAACACUUCUGCAGGCGGCAGUUGGACGACGCCAUGUUUAUAAUCUGGACCCCUAAGAACCUGUCUCUUGAUCAAAUACCUCAAGAGUCGAUGUUGCUCAGCAAAUUUGGUUGACUGUUUGUUUGGGGAUCCUUGAUCACCAAAACAAGAAGAAAAUAGAAAGAGAAGGCAAGCAACAAACAAGUGGGUCUUAGAAAACUCCAUAUUUGAUUGUUUGAUUGACAGUAUGUUUUGAACCGGAAAAUACGCUUUUUUAUAGGAUUUUUGGACGAAUUCUGACAGAAUAUCACAGUAAAAUCUUGUGUAUUGGGCACGAUGAUCUAAAUUACCGUUUUAAGAAUAAUUGGUCGAGAUUUUCUACCACAAAUACAUUGAUUUUUUUUUUUCAAUUAUAGUACAAGGAAAACAUACCAUUUUAAUUGUUAAUUCAAUGAUAAGUAAUUUGGUUGUAAUUGGUGUUUAUUCAAAAGGAUUAAGUUGUGAUAUUUUAUAUUAAUACGAUAGUGAAACUUAGGUGACCAUAAAUUGAAAUAAUUUAAUGACAAAUUACAGACCGUAUUUCACAUGACAUAUUCUGGGUUCGAUUCCUGGCAUUGGUGGAUCGCACGACGUUGGCCAUGUAAGGCUGAAAUGCCUAUGUGAGUCUUUCCGGCCUCCGAAAGAUUGGAUUGUGGUGGUGAAACCACUAGCUCGUCCCCUUUUAAUAAGAUGGAUAACAGGUCUCAAACCCUCAACUGCAACAAGCCACACGCUUUAAUAUAUCAUUUUCAAUCUCAUCAUACCAGCAUAUAAAGAUACACAUUAGGCCAAGCUUAUUAAUAUUGCUAAAAACUCAUAAAAAAACGAUAUAAGUGUUGCAUCAGUAAAUACAUUUUGCUUCGUGUGUGUGUGUAUAUAUUAAGAGAUGGGAGGGUUUAAACCUGAGUUGAAGAACAAAUCUUUAUUCAUUUGCAAGUUCACUUGCUAUUAACUCCAAAAAAAAAAAAUUAAAAACAUUUCAAUUAUGCAAAAAGACCAAAGUGAAUAUAUUACUUGAAAACUGAUCAUAGCUUUCCUCUCUACACCCACCAUAAACCCUAAACUAAACUCAUAAAUGAACGCUAUCACCAAAGCCACAAAAAUUUGGUUUUCUUCGUCACGUAAACCCUAGACCAGCAAAACAAGACGUACGGCAAUCGCCACUUGUUUACGUCCAAAGUAAAUCUAUAUUUUUUUAUAUAUAGAAAACUUCAUUUUAAUUCUUAAUAAAAAAAGAUGAGUUUUUUUACUAUAACCUUGUGUAAGAUUAAAAUUUAAUUUUAGUCUCUGAUACAUUUAAGGAAGACUUUGGAUGUGGUUCUUAGUUAUGAAUAUUCUUUGAUUGAAACCUUGUUGAUUUUUAAUUUUUGAUUGAAGUUCCUGAAAUUAAUGUGAUAAUUUAUUUCUAUGUACAUUACUAUAUUUUUUAAAUUAAAAAUUAGAAAUUUUAGUUGUUUAUAUAAAUGAGAUUUUAAAUAAAAAACCAUAAUUUGUGGGAUUAAAAAUAUUAACAUAUAAAUAUACUAUUGUGUGUGUGUGUACGUGUGUGUGUGUGUAAACAUGGGUACAUUCAUCAAAAUUAACCAAAAAAAUUAAGGAAAACUAACGAAAAGUUCAAAAAAACUUCUGUUUUAACGAAAAGCCCUUUUUAAAGGUAUAGUAAAUAGUGCCAGUUAAAGGUAAAAAUAUGGUUUUUCGUUAAAAAGUGAACAAUACCGGGAGUGUUUUGUUAAAACUCCCAAAAAAUUAUUGUAUCAAAACAUGAGUACAUUCUUCAAAAUCACAAAAAAAAAAAAAAAGAUAUUAGGCUUAAUAACAUUAAUAAAUUUCUUCGAUUAAACUUGAUAUGAAUACAUUUUAAAAUCAAAGAAAAAAGAAUGUACCCAUAUAAGUUUAAAAAUGGAAUAGAAAAAAAUUGAAUAGAUUUUAUAUAUAAAAAAAGGUAUAUUUUACAUAUAACAAAUUGGUAUAUUUAAGAAUGAGUACAUUUUAAGAUUAAAAUUUUUUACAUGAAUGGGUACAUAUAAUUAGCAUGGGUACAUUUAGCAAAAUAAAAAGUACAAAUAAAAAAAAAAUAUGGGUACAAAUACAAAGUAACUUUAAAAAAUAUGGGCACAAAAAGCAAUGAAUAUAUGGGGACAAAUUAAAAUUGAAAAGAAAAUUGGUACAAAUUAAAAAAAAUUACAAAUUAAAAAUGGGUACAAACUAAAACUAAAAAUAUAUGAUAAAAAAUUUAGUCAUAAAUAUAAAUAUACUAAUUGUAACAUUUUUAACAUUAAAUGAAUAUAUUUAGAAAUAAAAAAUAUAUAUUAUUAUUAAAAUAAUUAAUGAUGUUAUUAAUACCCAAGGACCUUGAUAAAAAUUUGAAAAUGAAUAGGAUUUUAAUCAAUGGAGUAGUAAAAGGAAGGAUGAUAACCUAAUUUCUUCUACAUUUAAUCAUCUCAUUUAUUAAUUAUAUUUUGAUGUUUUAUUUCUUUCUUUUUUCCUAUUUUUAAUGUAUUAAGUACAAUUAAUUUUUAUUUUCAUUUCAUUCAUCAUAAUAUAUUUUGAUAUCUACAUUUAGGUAAACUAAUAUUUUUUUUAUAGGGAGCUGUAAUGAAAAAGGCUUGGACUAACUUUAAUUUAACCAAAAACCAACCUAAACUAUUAUUUAACCAAAAUGGCUUAAAAUUUAAUCCUAAGGACAAACUAUUCAUAUAAUAGGCCCUAUAAACAUAAAAGCUCACGGGCUGUGUAACAUCCCACAUUGCCCAGGGGAGUGAUCCUUAAAUGUAUAUUCUCAUCCUUACCUAUCCUUACCUAGCAUGAGGCCUUUUGGGAGCUCACUGGCUUCGGGUUCCAUCGGAACUCCGAAGUUAAGCAAGUAGCACGUGAGAGCACUCCCAUGAUGGGUGACCCACUGGGAAGUUGCUCGUGAGUUCCCAAAAACAAAACCGUGAGGGAAUGGUAAGCCCAAAGCGGACAAUAUCGUGUUAUGGUAGUGGAGCAGGCCCGGGAAGUGAUCCGCCCCGGGCCGGGAUGUGACAAAUUGGUAUCAGAGCCUAACCCUGGCCGCGAGUGUGCUGACGAGGACGUCAGGCCCCUAAGGGGGGUGGAUUGUAACAUCCCACAUUGCCCAGGGGAGUGAUCCUUAAAUGUAUAUUCUCAUCCCUACUUAGCACGAGGCCUUUUGGGAGCUCACUGGCUUCGGGUUCCAUCGGAACUCCGAAGUUAAGCGAGUAGCACGCGAGAGCACUCCCAUGAUGGGUGACCCACUGGGAAGUUGCUCGUGAGUUCCCAAAAACAAAACCGUGAGGGAAUGGUAAGCCCAAAGCGGACAAUAUCGUGUUAUGGUAGUGGAGCAGGCCCGGGAAGUGAUCCGCCCCGGGCCGGGAUGUGACAAAUUGGUAUCAGAGCCUAACCCUGGCCGCGAGUGUGCUGACGAGGACGUCAGGCCCCUAAGGGGGGUGGAUUGUAACAUCCCACAUUGCCCAGGGGAGUGAUCCUUAAAUGUAUAUUCUCAUCCCUACUUAGCACGAGGCCUUUUGGGAGCUCACUGGCUUUGGGUUCCAUCGGAACUCCGAAGUUAAGCGAGUAGCACGCGAGAGCACUUCCAUGAUGGGUGACCCACUGGGAAGUUGCUCGUGAGUUCCCAAAAACAAAACCGUGAGGGAAUGGUAAGCCCAAAGCGGACAAUAUCGUGCUACGGUAGUGGAGCGGGCCCGGGAAGUGGUCCGCCCCGGGUCGGGAUGUGACAGGCUGAGCUAAAAGCCCAACACAAUAAAUAUUUUUUUUCCAAACUUGCCCUUAACGGAAAGCCUAUUACCUUUUUUUAUGAUGGAGAAAGCAUGUUACCUUAUUAAAUAUGAAGGACUACCAGACAUGUUGGUAUACGACACAACAACUAAUAGACUUAUUUACUUUGUGAUAGUCAAGUGACAUUGCAUGUAGUGGCCAAUCCUUUUUUCCAUGAGCGAAAUCAUCAUAUUGAAAUGAAUUGUCAUUUUAUACGUGAUAUGAUUGUUGAUAGCACGUUAGCAACUAGACAUGUUGGUAUACGACACAACAGCUAAUAGACUUGUUUACGAAGCCACUCGAAAAGGAGAAGCUUUCAAUCAUGUUACGCAAAUUGGGAGUUCUUGACAUUCACUCUCCAACUUGGGGUAUUGAGGGGUACUAUUAGACAAAUAUAGCAAAUUAGUUAGAAUUAAAUUAUAAUUAUAAUUGUAAUUGUACUCCUAGCAGGAAUUCUUGUUGUAUAAGGAAUGUAAUUGUAUUAACGGCGGAGCUAGCAACAAGGCUAGGGUGGGCUCUAGCAUAGGGAGAUUUUUAGUUGUUUAAGGUUAAAAAUACUGAUAAUUUAGAUUAUUUUAUUAUUUUUAAUUGUUAUAGCUCAUCCAAUAAGUAAAAGUUCUAAACAAUAGGACUACUUUUAGAAAAAAGUAAGAGUUAAUAAAUAUUAAAUAAAUUAUUUACUUUAAUCAAUAUCAAAAUUUAUUAUUAUUAUUAUAAUUCAAAUCUUACACACACACCCUAACACACGUCCCAUUAAGUCUAUUUAUUUGAUUAGUUUUUAGGGAGUAGUAUAGAGAUUUGUUUAGGUUUCUUAGGAGUAAGUAGUCAUCUUAUCCGGUUUUAAAAAGUAAAUUUAAUAUUUUAUUAAUUUAGGGAGUAGACUAGUUUAUUAUUUUAUUUCGACUUUUGGGUACAACCCAAUGACCCUUUUUCAGUUUCAGAAAAGCCUUUGUCUCGUCUUGACGUCUUCUCUGCACUGCAGUUUACAGAAACCGAGCAUACAAUACAAGUGACAAAUAUGCAGUAAUGGAAGUCCAUUCAAUUUGUUCCUCACUGUCGGAAAUAUUUGCAGUAAACCAGCAGAAGGCAUUGAAGAAAUUACAAAUUCUCCCAAUAACAAAACAGGUGAACUUAUAUGGUGGGCUGGAAAAACACAAAAAUAAAUCAAAUUAGUUUUUGGAUGGUCUUCGAGCUGCGUUGGCCAGGGAUUUCCUAGCUAGAGGUCGAGGGUGAUACUAAGAUCCUUCUUGAUUCGAUCAAUGAGACUAGAAUCCUUCUUGAUUCGAUCAAUGAGACUAGUAUCCUUCUUGAUUCGAUCAAUGAGUCUAUCUCCCACCCCUGGCAUCUCUUGACACUGGUGUACAAUAUUUAAAAAAUAGCUUGCAGAUAUCUGCAGGAUACCUAUUUUCACCUAUUUUCGUCACUUUUUGUCGUGAAACACAUUGUGUGGCAAAUGCUCUUGCUAGUGUUGGUCAAUCUUCGUUGUUUUUGGUGACUAAAUUUCCUUGUGAGGCGCGUUCCACUUGACUUUUGAGAUUUUUGUAGUUUAGCUUGACCUAGAGGAUUAUCUUUAUACUUGUUUUUUUCCUGUAAAAACAAGAGAUUUUAUUUAAACAUCACUUUUAUUUGAAUCCUUUGCUUGUAUUAUUCCAACCAAUAUUACUACUCUAAACUACCUUAAGGGAGGGGACGGGUUCAAACCCGAGUAGGAGAGAAAGUACUUAUUCAUCAAGGCAAUUCUGAAUUUUUCAGGUCGAGUAUCUGGUCUACCACCAACAUUACAAAUAUUAUCCCAACUUAACCACCUAUGCAAGGUGUUAGGUUUUGUUGCAAAAGACCUCUGUGAUACUAGAGGUGGAAACUCCCCAUACAUUAAUUGUAUAUUAUUUGUCAUAUGUCCAAAUAAAGAUGAGGCUGCGUACGAUAGAUAUUCCCCCUCCUCUCGACUCUCGCAAAGUGGGGAAUUUUGUUAGCUUGGCUUUUUUAUAUGACCGAUUUGAAAACCUAUCCUCCAACAAAACCACCACUUGCGAGUUCACUCGCUAUUAACUUCAAACAAAAUUAAACCAAAACAAAGCAACUGAACCAAACCAAUAACCAAAACAAACAACUGAGAAAAAAACCUAGAGCUAGUCUCCAUAUCUUAACUAUCCAAUAAGCGUCUUGAGUGAGGUUUCCGGUGAAUAUUGGCUUCCGUGGCCGAAGAAAGUGAUGGCGAUUCCUCAGGAGACUCUUCAUGAUUUGGACUAGAAGGCACAAGCCUCAUAAGAUCAUAGUUUGCACCUGAAGAUGGUGGUGGCGGAGUAUAUACCUUCGAAGGUGGUUCUUCAGGAGACUCUUCAUGGUUUGGACCAGAAGGCACAAGCCUCAUAAGAUCAUAAUUCGCAGGAUCAUCCAACACUUCUGCAGGCGGCAGUUGGACGACGCCAUGUUUAGAAUCUGGACCCCUAAGAACCUGCCUCUGGAUCCAAUACCUCAAGAGUCGAUGUUGCUCAGCAAAUUUGGUGGACUGUUUGUUUGGGGAUCCUUGAUCACCAAAACAAGAAGAAAAUAGAAAGAGAAGGCAAGUAACAAACAAGUGAGUCUUAGAAAACUCCAUAUUUGAUUGUUUGAUUGACAGUAUGUUUUGAACCGGAAAAUACGCUUUCUUAUAGGAUUUCUUGGACGAAUUCUGACAGAAUAUCACAGUAAAAUCUUGUGUAAUAUUGGGCACGAUAAUCUAAAUUACCGUUUUAAGAAUAAUUGGUCGAGAUUUUCUACCACAAAUACAUUGAAUUUUCUUUCAAUUAUAUUACAAGGAAAAUAUACCAUUUUAAUUGUUAAUUCAAUGAUAAGUAAUUUGGUUGUAAUUCGGUGUUUAUUCAAAAGGAUUAAGCUGUGAUAUUUUAUAUUAAUACGAUAGUGAAACUUGGGUGACCAUAAAUUGAAAUAAUAUAAUGACAAAUUACAGAUCGUGUUUCACAUGGCAUAUUCUGGGUUCGAUUCCUAGCACUGGUGGAUAACACGACGUUGGCCAGGUGAGGCUGAAAUGCCUAUGUGAGUAUUCCUGGUCCCUAAAAGAUUGGAUUGUCGUGGUGAAACCACAAGCUCGUCCCCUUUUAAUAAGAUGGAUAACAGGUCUCAAACCCUCAAAUGCAACAAGCCACACGCUUUAAUAUAUCAUUUUCAAUCUCAUCAUACCAGCAUAUAAAGAUACACAUUUGUCCAUGAAGACGUAAUUGUUCUUCCCUAAAAAGAUACCAGCAUAUAAAGAUACACAUUAGGCCAAGCUUAUUAAUAUUGCUAAAAACUCAUAAAAAAACGAUAUAAGUGUUGCAUCAGUAAAUACAUUUUGCUUCGUGUGUGUGUGUAUAUAUUAAGAGAGGGGAGGGUUUAAACCCGAGUUGAAGAACAAAUCCUUAUUCAUUAAGGCAAUCCAUCACUUGCAAGUUCACUUGCUAUUAACUCCAAAAAAAAUUAAAAACAUUUCAAUUAUGCAAAAAGACUAAAGUGAAUAUAUUACUUGAAAACUGAUCAUAGCUUUCCUCUCUACACCCACCAUAAACCCUAAACUAAACUCAUAAAUGAACGCUAUCACCAAAGCCACAAAAAUUUGGUUUUCUUCGUCACGUAAACCCUAGACCAGCAAAACAAGACGUACGGCAAUCGCCACAUGUUUACGUCCAAAGUAAAUCUAUAUUUUUUUAUAUAGAAAACUUCAUUUUAAUUCUUAAUAAAAAAAAAGAUGAGUUUUUUUACUAUAAUCUUGUGUAAGAUUAAAAUUUAAUUUUAGUCCCUGAUACAUUUAAGUGAGACUUUGAAUGCGAUCCUUAGCUAUGAAUAUUCUUUGAUUGAAACCUUGUUGAUUUUUAAUUUUUGAUCGAGGUCCCUGAAAUUAAUAUGAUAAUUUAUUUCUAUGUACGUUACUAUAUUUUUUAAAUUAAAAAUUAGAAAUUUUAGUUGUUUAUAUAAAUGAGAUUUUAAAUAAAAAAAACCAUAAUUUGUGGGAUUAAAAAUAUUAAAAUAUAUAUAUAUAUUUUAUAUAUAAACAUGGGUACAUUCAUCAAAAUUAACCAAAAAAAUUAAGGAAAACUAACGAAAAGUUCAAAAAAACUUCUGUUUUAACGAAAAGCCAUUUUUAAAGGUAUAGUAAAUAGUGCCAGUUAAAGGUAAAAAUAUGGUUUUUCGUUAAAAAGUGAACAAUACCGGGAGUGUUUUGUUAAAACUCCCAAAAAAUUAUUGUAUCAAAACAUGAGUACAUUCUUCAAAAUCACAAAAAGAAAAAAGAAAAAAGAAAGAUAUUAGGCUUAAUAACAUUAAUAAAUUUCUUCGAUUAAACUUGACAUGGAUACAUUUUAAAAUCAAAGAAAAAAGAAUGUACCCAUAUAAGUUUAAAAAUGGAUUAGAAAAAAAUUGAAUAGAUUUUCUAUAAAAAAAAGGGUACAUUUUACAUAUAACAAAUUGGUAUAUUUAAGAAUGAGUAUAUUUUAAGAUUAAAAAGUUUUACAUGAAUGGGUACAUAUAAUUAGCAUGGGUACAUUUAGAAAAAUAAAAAGUACGAAUAAAAAAAUAUAUGGGUACAAAUACAAAUAAACUUUAAAAAAUAUGGGCACAAAAAGAAAUGAAUAUAUGGGUACAAAUUAAAAUUGAAAAGAAAAUUGGUACAAAUUAAAAAAAAAACAAAUUAAAAAUGGGUACAAACUAAAACUAAAAAUAUAUGAUAAAAAAUUUAGUCAUAAAUAUAAAUAUACUAAUUGUAACAUUUUUAACAUUAAAUGAAUAUAUUUAGAAAUAAAAAAUAUAUUAUUAUUAAAAUAAUUAAUGAUAUUAUUAAUACCCAAGGACCUUGAUAAAAAAUUGAAAAGGAAUAGGAUUUUAAUCAAUAGAGUAGCAAAAUGAAGGAUGAUAACCUAAUUUCUCCUACAUUUAAUCAUCUCAUUUAUUAAUUAUAUUUUGAUGUUUUAUUUCUUUCUUUUUUUCCUAUUUUUAAUGUAUUAAUUACAAUUAAUUUUUAUUUUCAUUUCAUUCAUCAUAAUAUAUUUUGAUAUCUACAUUUAGGUAAACUAAUAUUUUUUAUAGGGAGCUGUAAUGAAAAAGGCUGGGACUAACUUUAAUUUAACAAAAAACCAGCCUAAACUAUUAUUUAACCAAAAUGGCUUAAAAUUCAAUCCUAAGGACAAACAAUUCAUAUAACAGGCCCUGCAAACAUAAAAGCUCACGGGUUGAGCAAAAAGCUAAACACAAUAAAUUUUUUUUUUCAAACUUGCCCUUAACGGAAAGCAUGUUACCUUUUUUAUGAUGGAGAAAGCAUGUUACCUUAUUAAAUAUGAAUGUCACAUCCCCACCCGGGGUGGAUCACUUCCCGGGCCCGCUCCACCACCGUAGCAAGAUAUUGUCUACUUUGGGCCCUGACCACGCCCUCACGGUUUUUUUCUUCUGAGAACUCACAAGCAACUUCCCAGUGGGUCACCCAUUCUGGGAGUGCUAUGGCCCCCUUCUCGCUUAACUUCGGAGUUCCUACGAAACCCGAAGCUAGUGAGCUCCCAAAAGGCCUCGUGCUAGGUAGGGAUAUGAAUAUACAUUUAAGGAUCACUCCCUUGAGUGAUGUGGGAUAUUACAACGAAGGUGCUAAAUUGGCGUCCACCAUCCCCACUUCCAUUUUUCUCUAUCAUCCACCAUCCCCCUUUCAUUAUUCUAACUACCACAAGUGCCAAACUAAUAAACAAAACGAACCAUCCUUGUUUCACUAUGGGGAUGUAGAAAAUUUGAUUUUUCAAGUGAGCUUUUUAGAAGACUUUUUUUAUUUUUUAUUUAUUAAAAAAUAUUGCUAUUUUUGUAUGUAAAAAGACUUAAUAUCGCAAGAAUUCCUUCAAUCAGUAUGGAAUUUAAACCAUGCAUCCAUUUCUAAAGUAAAUGAAGCACGUAUGAUAAUGAUGAUAGAUUGAAUUUGCAAUCAUUUUAUUGAUGGCGACUAUGUGUAACAUUUUUCGAAAAUAAAAAUGAGGGGAAAGGUGAUGAUCGAGUUCUUUGCAAAUUUGUGUAACAAAUUCCGAGAAAAGAAAAGGAGAAGUGACAUAAUUCUACAGAUUCGGAGGAAGAGAGGAUUGUAAAGAAAUGAAUCUUUGUAUUUCAUUACUUAAUGUGAAAGGAAUACAACUCAAUAUAUAUACAUUUCUCUAAUAAAGCUUAGUGCCUAAUUAUACUUAAUUAGGUCUCUAACACAGAGAUUAGUUACAAAAUUGUUACAGCUGUAAAAUGACAGUUGUACAAGCUGUUAACUAUGAGUUAUCCCUUUAAGGGUGAUGAGAUAAUGGGAACCAGACUCACCUAGAAAGAGAAGGUUAGGUGCUUUGACAGCAAACAGUAGCAAAGCUUCUUGUUUGUUGGUGUGGCACUCUUUCUAUAUUUUUUAUGAAUUAGUGAGACAUGACAAAUGCACAUUUGUAAUAGAAAAUAACGCAUUUGUCACGUUUAUAUGGAGAAUAUACCACAAAGUUUUAGAAAUAGCGUUUAUUUUGUUCUAUUUUAUAAAUAAUGUGGAUUAUUUUGGUUUAGUUUCAUAAAUAGUGUGAGUUAUUUUGCUAUUGUUCUAGAAAUAGUGUGGUUAUUUUGCUAUAGUUCUAGAAAUAGUGUGGGUUAUUUUGGUCUAGUUUUAAAAUAGUGUGGGUUAUUUUGUUAUAGUUUCAUAAAUAGUGUGGGUUAUUUUAGUCUAGUUUCAUAAGGUCUAGUUUCAUAAAUAGUGUGAGUUAUUUUCCUAUAGUUUCAUAAAUAGUGUGAGUUAUUUUGGUCUAGUUUCAUAAAUAGUGUGGGUUAUUUUGCUAUAUUUUCAUAAAUGGUGUGGGUUAUUUUGGUCUAGUUUCAUAAAUAGUGUGGGUUAUUUUGGUCUAGUUUCAUAAAUAGUGUGGGUUAUUUUGCUAUAGUAUCAUAAAUAAUAUGGAUUAUUUUGGUCUAGUUUCAUAAAUAGUGUGGGUUAUUUUGGUCUAGUUUCAUAAAUAGUGUGGGUUAUUUUGCUAUAGUAUCAUAAAUAAUAUGGAUUAUUUUGGUCUAGUUUCAUAAAUAGCGUGGGUUAUUUUGGUAUAGUUUCAUAAAUAGUGUGGGUUAUUUUGGUCUAGAUUCAUAAAUAGUGUGGGUUAUUUUACAGUAGUUCCGGAAAUAAUGUGGGUUAUUUUGGUUCAAUUUCAUAAAUAGUAUAGUUAUUUUGUUCCUUCCAAAAAUAGUGUAAGUUAUUUUGGUUCGGAUUCACAAUUUUGGUUUAGUUUUCAUAUCAAUUUGUCAUAGCCAUAGUAGCAGAGGUAGUUCAAGUAGACAACGGUUUCUGUUUCAAACACUUGAACGAGAAACUACCCAGUAAGCCCCCAAAAGAAAUCCCAUCACUCAUUCACAUAAACAGACAAGGAAAGUAUAUAAACCAUGAAGCUUUCCAGAAAAAGCAAAAACAAGUGAAAUUUGUUUGCUGUACAGCAUAUUAGCAAAGCUUCGGCAUCAUCCAGUCCAAUUUUAAUCUCAGAAAAUUUCUUCUUCUGCUGCUCUACAAUUCACAUUGAUAAAAAAAUAACCCAUUUAAUAAAAUGAUCAGAACUACCCAAAAUCAUGCAGAUCAAACCCAUGAUUAGGGAUGGGCAAAUACCCAUUGGUUAUGGGUAACCGCGGUUACUCGUCCAUUUAAAUUAAACGGUUACGGUUAUGGGUAACCGUUUAGAUAAAUAAACGGUUAUGGGUAUAACCGUUUACCCGUAAAAUUUAAAUGGGUAGUUAUGGGUAUUAACCGUGUUUAUAAACGGGUAACCGUUUACCCAUUUAUUUUAUAUAUGUAAAACUAACACAAACCAUGUUCUCGAUCCAAUAAUACUUAGCACCCAAUAAAUUAGCAAGGAAUUCAUCGGUCCUUCUCUCAAUAACACUACUACAGGAAUGAUGAUUCUCAUCAUCAAGGAAUUGGCCAAAUUAAUUUAAAUUCCUUGCGGGUAAUCGUGAAAUUGAAAGAAAUAUCUUCUAAACAAUUUUUGUAACCCAAUAAUACUUAGCAAAUAUUAUAUUUACCUUCAUUGAUAACAGUUAAAAAUAUCGUCCGUAAACUAUUAUUUCAAUUAUUGAAAUGGUAUAAGAACUUAAAAAUUAAAAUAUGGAAAUGUAUGAUGAAUGUACCUAUAACAGUUAAUUGUCAAAAAAAAAUUAUGACAAUUUUUUUUUUAAAUUUUCAAGUUGUUAAAAAACAUGUAGACGGGUGAAA